AAGUAAAUAAGAACAAUCACAAGAUUUACAUGGGCAUCAUGCCCUAAUCUUGAUUGAUCUUGACAUUAUAUAGCAUGGGAUGACUUAAUGGUGGUGGGUUACAACACACCACUUAUUUAAUCCAACCGGCAAUAUAAGUAAUGACGAUACUAUGUCUGGCAUGGUUGAUGUACCCGAACAUCUCAUGCCAACAAUUACUCUUGGACGUUUGCUUCACCAUUUCCUUUUUCUGCUUGAGUCCCAAGUGGUGGUUUUGGUUGUGCAUUCGGGUCAGGCAGUGGUUGUGGAUUCGGGUCUGGUAAUGGUUGUGGGUUUGGAUCAGGUUGCGGUCCUGGUAAUGGCUGAGGGUUUGGGUUUGGCUGUGGGUCCGGCAAUGGCUUCGGGUUUGGGUCUGGUAAUGGUUGCGGGUUUGGAUGAGGUUGUGGUCCUGGUAAUGGCUGAGGGUUUGGGUUUGGCUGUGGGUUCGGCAAUGGUAUCGGGUUUGGGUCUGGUAAUGGUUCUGGGUUUGGAUCAGGCUGUGGUCCUGGUAAUGGCUGAGGGUUUGGGUUUGGUUGUGGGUCCGGCAAUGGUUUUGGGUUUGGGUCUGGUAAUGGUUGUGGAUUUCGAUCAGGCUGCGGUCUUGGUAAUGGUUGAGGGUUUGGUUUUGCUCGUGGGUCUGGUAGUGGCCGCGGCUUUGUGUUUGGCUGUGGGUUCAUCAACUGUUGCAGGUUUUGUCCUGGCAAUAGUUGUGGAUUUGGGUCAGGNNNNNNNNNNGUUGUGGGUUUGGAUCAGGUUGCGGCCCUGGUAGUGGCUUAGGGUUUGGGUUUGGCUGUGGGUCCGGCAAUGGUUUUGGGUUUGGGUCUGGUAAUGGUUGUGGAUUUCGAUCAGGCUGCGGUCUUGGUAAUGGUUGAGGGUUUGGUUUUGCUCGUGGGUCUGGUAGUGGCCGCGGCUUUGUGUUUGGCUGUGGGUUCAUCAACUGUUGCAGGUUUUGUCCUGGCAAUAGUUGUGGAUUUGGGUCAGGGUGUGGUCCUGGUAAUGGUUGAGCGUUUGGAUCAGGUUGUGGAUCUAGCAGUGGUUGUGGGUUUGUAUGAGGUUUAGGCUCGGGUAGCGGUUGCGGCUUUGGGUCUGGUUGUGGUCCCGGCAAUGGUUGAGGGUUUGGAUCUGGCUGUUUUCCUGGUAGUGGUUCUGGAUUUGGGUUCGCCCGUGGGCCGUACUGAGGGUCUCUAGUGAUCAGGUUGUGCCUCCCGGCAGCAAGAGCAAACACUGGAAGAAGCAUAAGCAGCAACGGUGCUACGAGAAGAGAAGACGCGGAUGGGCGCUUCCUCAUCGUCAUGGCUAAGCUUGUGUUGGUACGAACUUGCAAGUGCGUGCGUCUCGAUCUUCCUAUUUAUAAGCGAAUUCAGCCAUCAAGGCUGGACAAGCAUGUACGUUGUUUACUCCAACUCUGAUUGGGCUUGUUAGCUUUGCCUUUUUGAAGAUGCGGGACUGCACGCCUCCGCUUAGUGCUCUAACCAGCAGCUAGCCACAAUAAAAAGUCAUUUAGAAAAGUUUUGAGUUAUCAUCAUAAAGAAAAAGUUUGUGUAGUUUUCGUCUGGAUAGAUGUGACAUUUUUCAGUUGAUCGUAGGAGAGCAACAUGCAGAAGCAUACAGUUGCCCAAGUUGUGAACAACCUGAUCACUUUCAGUAAUUCUGUUGAAUUCAUAGCAGGGUAGCAGAUGGCUGUGAGCAUGGAAUUUGUAAAUCAUGUAAUUUUUUUUAAAAUAAGAAAAAUCAUGUAAACACGUAUACAUGUUAUUUGCGUGUCCAAGAAGUUUAAUUAAGCCAUACACAGAUUUGUAGGCUACAUAAAAAAAAUCCAGCCCAAAUGCAAUAGAAAUAAGCCUAUUUUAAAUUAUGUAUUUGUCGUUUUCCCCUUUGUGUAGACUAUAUAUGAUUUUUUUUCAAAUAUAUUUUGUUGAAAUUUUGUAUGAACACACUAUACCUUUUUUAUUGAAAAUUUUGAGGUGCAAGAAUAAAGUUCUUGAUAAAAAAUAAAGAAGCCUGUACGAUGUAUUGUUGUACACAGGAAUAUCGUGGAUUCUAAACUUGAGGUUUGCAUGGAUGGAUUUUUUUUACGGAAUCUAGUUUAAAUGAGUCCUAUUGUUUCCCGUAUGAAUUCCUAUUCUAUGACUCAAACAACACAUACAGAAAAAUUUUCUAAGGAUUAGAUUCCUCCAAAAUUCUAUUAAAAGUUUAAAACCCCUUUGAAUCAAAGAAGCCUAUUCCCCCCAAAAUAAAGAAAAGAAUCAAAUGAGCUCGGGUGAACAGUAAAAUCAAAACUAAAUCAAUUUUUUUUUAAAAAAAUCCAAUUUUUUUUGGGAGAAAAAGUUCUAAGUGCUUGCAAAAAUUCGCCAUGAAAUCACAUUUCUAGAAGGCGUGGCAAAAAAAAAAAACAAAAUCAGUACUCUGAAAAAGCUACUUUCAAAAGCAUUUUGGAGCACUGAAUUUGUUUUUUUUGCCACGCUUUACAGGAAUGUGAUUUCAUGAUGAAUUUUUGCAAGCACUUAAAACUUUUGUUAAUGUUUCUCCCAAAAAAAAUUGGGAAUUUUUUGAAUUUUUUUUGAAUUUUUUUCGAUUUUACUGUUCACCAAGCUCAAAUGAGCUCGGGAGCAGAAAGGCACUUUCGAUCAAAGAAGCCUAUUUCGCAGCAAAGCUAGUGGCUGUCCUAUCGGACAGUGAUGCACCUUUAAGUACGCGGUUUCUAAUAAUCACGAUCAGUGCACGCCGUGCACAGUGCACUCAUUUCGGUUGUAGAUGUAACUUUCACAUUUCAUACACCAAUCACGAUCAGUUGCUUGUUGGCACGGGCGGAGCUCCGUAGGGGCAGACCUGGGCCAUGGCCCGCCCAGGAAUUUGACAAAAAAAGUUUUUACUACUAGUCGUCUUAGCCCAGCCCACUAGCCCACGCACGCACUGAAUAUCCCCCCAUCGGCCAUCGUCUCCUCGUCUCGCGCACGCUGCACGCACAGGCACACUCACGCCUUCCCCAAUUCCCCAUCCUCUCAGUCCCAGACUCAUGUAGGUUGUAGCCACGCCGCCGACGACUACCGACGUGGACAGGGAACACGUCCACACGGUCCACCGGAGCGCGCCGCCCGCCAUCUCUCGGAGCAACCGCCAUGGCAACGCCCGCCGGGAUCUCGCCUCGCCCCUGCCCUGCUCCCUCCUGCCGCCCAUCAUCCGCACACUUACANNNNNNNNNNNNNNNNNNNNNNNNNNNNNNNNNNNNNNNNNNNNNNNNNNNNNNNNNNNNNNNNNNNNNNNNNNNNNNNNNNNNNNNNNNNNNNNNNNNNNNNNNNNNNNNNNNNNNNNNNNNNNNNNNNNNNGCAAUAACCUGAUUUUGUUCAUUUCCAUACACCCAGUGAUCAGUCCUGCUAGUGAUAAAUAAUAGUCUGAUGAUCUGAUCUUACGCAAAUUUUAACAUAGGUAGUCGGGAAAGGAAAAUAAGACUCAGAGAAGAAGAAGAUCACUGCACAAUAAGAUGGAAGAUGAGAAUCUGGCUAAUAACUUGUUAGUUCACAUAGAUGGUGGAAUUCUAGAAAACUACAGCCACGAAGAUGUCAUUGCAGAUUUUAUAAACAAGAAGAUCGGAGAGUUGAUUGUAUGUGAGUAGGUCCAUGUCUAAUGUCUCUGACACUUUUGUAUUAUCUAACUCAAUAGUGAAACAUGGUUGAACUGUACUUUGGUACAUAUAUAUAUUAUAUAUAUACAUAUCUGCUAGCUCAAUCUUGUGACCUGGGUGCUUGUAAUAUGUCCUUAUGGGUAAGAAUUUAGAAAAAAUUGUGUUCUUCUUCAGUCUGGCCCGCCCAACUUUUUCGUUCAAGCUCCGCCACUGCUUGUUGGUGCACAUCCAAUGCUCUAGAAUAAAACAAAAAGUACUCCUAUAUACAAAACGUACUUUACCUAACCUACCGAUUGAAUCGUAUACAUAGAUGAAAAAGAAAAGACAUCCGUAGAGUCCCAAGUUACCUACCGAUUGAAUCGUAUGUAUAGAUGAAAAAGAAAAGACAUCCAUAGAGUACCAAGUUACCUACCGAUUGAAUCAUACAUAUAGACGAAAAAGAAAAGACAUGCAUAGAGUACCAAGUUAAAGACGAUAUGACCUCACAACUAGAUUGGGUUGGGUGAGUGGAGUGCCACUUUAAUCCUUGUCUGGAGCACGCGCUAUGAUAUUUCUUCAGAGGCGCUGAAGUGGGGAACAAGACUGAUAGAACAAACAACAAGUGAGAUAUUUUGAGCUUCACUAGGUUGGAGGCCUGGUGUGCUCAGAAUUUAUCAGGGUGUAUUCAGGUUGCAGCACUGCUGCCAAGGCAUUUCUCCAGCUUCGCUCUGAAGAUCUUUUGCUUUGCUUUGUUCCUCUGUUUGUUUGUAAUGAAGUUCCCGUGUUUUGUGAUGGUUGCAAGUUCCCUGUAGUCUUUAUAUAUUUGGCUCAAGGGUGCCUGAAAAUUUCAUAGUUAUGUUUAAAAAAAUGCCGUAGUUGUUAGUUUUUGGACCAUCUAUCUAAAUCUAUCAAAGACCCUGUUGCCCGAGCUAGCCAAUCAAAGUUGGGCCAUUUGCAUCAAGCUAGGUAGGAUGCGUCGCCGGAAAACCCAAAUCGCUAAUUAAGGAGUACUCUUUGCAAAGGUCACUCCUACCAUGUCGCAACUAGUGAGUUUUCCUUUUUUUGUCGAUUCGUUUAUUCAACACGUUUUAUCGGUUAAAACAUGCAUUCACAUCUUGAAUCGUUUUCUCCAUUGUAUUCCUCGCACUGAGAUCUUGAAAAUUAGAUCCGAUCUGAUAGGUUUUGAUGAACGUUUUACUUUACGAAAAAUACCGAACAAAAAACAAACCGGGAGCACAUUUUUUCCUUUCUGAAAAGGGCACAAUCGUGCCUCUCGUGUCGUUACAAAUCUUAUCUCUGUUCGUCGUUACAAAUCCUAUGAAUUGCUAUUCUAUCUUCACAACAUCCUAUACUCCCCUUGUGUCGUUACAAAUCUUAUCUCUGUUCGUCGUUUUUGCAUUGACAAUUCAGUAACAAUUGAGUUUUACCCCCUUGACUUUGUUGUGAAGGAUCUAGCCACUCGGACUCCUUAUGAGCCGCAGUAGCUACGGCCAGCUUUACUCCUUCUCCGGCGGCACCACCAACCACCAGGCGGUGCUCUCUAUGGACGUUGGAAACUUGUGGCAUCAGCGAUUAGGGCACCCCAGUGCUGCCUCCCUUUCCCGUUUGGCGAGCAGUUUUUAACCAAAUUGUAAUAAGCCAGUCCACCCCAUGGUACUUGUCAUGCAUGUCAAUUAGGCCACCAUGCUCUCCUUCCUUUUUCCAGAUUCUCUGUCAUUUACUACUUUUCCUUUUCAACUAGUGCACUAUGAUAUAUGAACCUCAACAAUUGCGAGUUUUUCCGGCUUCAAAUAUUAUUUGUUUGUCAUAGACGACUUCACUCACUUCCCUUGGAGCUUCCCGCUACACCAUAAGCCCCAUGCCGCUGCCACCCUUGAACGCUUUUACCAGUACGUGCUCAUACAAUUCCGUGUUUACAUACAGUGUGUCCAAUGUGAUAAUGGGGGCGACUUCCUCAACGUUCACCUAUGCACUUUCUGUUGGGGAACGUUGCAGAAAACAAAAAUUUUCCUACGGUUUCACCAAGAUCCAUCUAGGACUUCAUCUAGCAACGAGUAAUCGGAUUGCAUCUACGUACCUUGUAGAUCGCGAGUGGAAGCGUUCAAAGAACGGGGAUGAGGGAGUCGUACUCGACGUGAUCCAAAUCACCGGAGAUCCUAGCGCCGAACGGACGACACCUCCGCGUUCAACACACGUACGGUCAGCGUAACGUCUCCUUCCUCUUGAUCCAGCAAGGGGCAAGGAGAGGUUGAGGAAGAUGGCUCCAGCAGCAGCACGACGGCGUGGUGGUGAUGGAGCUGCAGUACUCCGGCAGGGCUUCGCCAAGCUCUAUGGAGGAGGAGGAUGUGUUGGAGAGGGAGAGGGAGGCACCAAAGGCAAAGGUAAGAGGUCCUCCAUCCUCCCCACUAUAUAUAGGGGGGCCUAGGGGGGGACGCCGGCCCUAGGAGAUGCAAUCUCCUAGGGGGGCGGCGGCCAAGGGGUGGGGGACUUGCCCCCCAAGCAAGGGGGCGUCCCCCCCCUUUAGGGUUUCCCCCACCCUAGGCGCAUGGGCCCUAGGGGAAGUGGCGCCCCAGCCCACUUUGGGCUGGAUCCCUUCCCACUUCAGCCCAUGGGGCCCUCCGGGAUAGGUGGCCCCACCCGGUGGACCCCCGGGACCCUUCCGGUGGUCCCGGUACAAUACCGGUGACCCCGAAACUUGUCCCGAUAGCCGAAAUAGCACUUCCUAUAUAUAAUUAUUUACCUCCGGACCAUUCCGGAACUCCUCGUGAUGUCCGGGAUCUCAUCCGGGACCCCGAACAACAUCCGGGUUACUGCAUAUACAUAUCCCUAUAACCCUAGCGUCACCGAACCUUAAGUGUGUAGACCCUACGGGUUCGGGAGACAUGUAGACAUGACCGAGAUCGCUCUCCGGUCAAUAAACAAUAGCGGGAUCUGGAUACCCAUGUUGGCUCCCACAUGCUCCUCGAUGAUCUCAUCGGAUGAACCACGAUGUCGAGGAUUCAAGCAACCCCGUAUACAAUUCCCUUCGUCAGUCGGUAUGUUACUUGCCCGAGAUUCGGUCGUCGGUAUCCCAAUACCUCGUUCAAUCUCGUUACCGGCAAGUCACUUUACUCUUACCGUAAUGCAUGAUCCCGUGACCAGACACUUGGUCACUUUGAGCUCAUUAUGAUGAUGCAUUACCGAGUGGGCCCAGUGAUACCUCUUCGUCAUACGGAGUGACAAAUUCCAGUCUUGAUCCGUGUCAACCCAACAGACACUUUCGGAGAUACCCGUAGUAUACCUUUAUAGUCACCCAGUUACUUGUGACGUUUGGUACACCCAAAGCACUCCUACGGUAUCCGGGAGUUACACGAUCUCAUGGUCUAAGGAAAAGAUACUUGACAUUGGAAAACUCUAGCAAAUGAACUAUACGAUCUUGUGCUAUGUUUAGGAUUGGGUCUUGUCCAUCACAUCAUUCUCCUAAUGAUAUGAUCUCGUUAUCAAUGACAUUCAAUGUCCAUAGUCAGGAAACCAUGACUAUCUUUGAUCAACGAGCUAGUCAACUAGAGGCUUACUAGGGACAUGUUGGUGUCUAAGUAUUCACACAUGUAUUACAAUUUCCGGAUAACACAAUUAUAGCAUGAAUAAAAGACAAUUAUCAUGAACAAGGAAAUAUAAUAAUAAUGCUUUUAUUAUUGCCUCUAGGGCAUAUUUCCAACAGUCUCCCACUUGCACUAGAGUCAAUAAUCUAGUUACAUUGUGAUGAAUCGAACACCCAUGGAAUUCUGGUGUUGAUCAUGUUUUGCUCUAGGGAGAGGUUUAGUCAACGGAUCUGCUACAUUCAGGUCCAUAUGUACUUUACAAAUAUCUAUGUCUCCAUCUUGAACAUUUUCACGAAUGGAGUUGAAGCGACGCUUGAUGUGCCUCGUCUUCUUGUGAAAUCUGGGCUCCUUGGCAAGUGCAAUAGCUCCAUGUUGUCACAGAAGAGCUUCAUAGGCCCCGAUGCAUUGGGUAUGACUCCUAGGUCGGUGAUGAACUCCUUCACCCAAAUUGCUUCAUGCGCUGCCUCCGAGGCUGCCAUGUACUCCGCUUCACAUGUAGAUCCCGCCACGACGCUCUUCUUGCAACUGCACCAGCUUACUGCCCUACCAUUCAAAAUAUACACGUAUCCGGUUUGUGACUUAGAGUCAUCCAGAUCUGUGUCGAAGCUAGCAUCGACGUAACCAUUUACGACGAGCUCUUCGUCACCUCCAUAGACGAGAAACAUUUCCUUAGUCCUUUUCAGGUACUUCAGGAUAUUCUUGACCGCUGUCCAGUGUUCCUUGCCGGGAUUACUUUGGUACCUACCUACCAAACUUACGGCUAGGUUUACAUCAGGUCUGGUACACAGCAUGGCAUACAUAAUAGAACCUAUGGCUGAGGCAUAGGGGAUGAUACUCAUCUCUUCUAUAUCUUCUGCCGUGGUCGGACAUUGAGCUGAGCUCAAUUUCAUACCUUGCAACACAGGCAAGAACCCCUUCUUAGACUGAUCCAUAUUGAAUUUCUUCAAUAUCUUAUCAAGGUAUGUGCUUUGUGAAAGACCUAUGAGGCGUCUUGAUCUAUCUCUGUAGAUCUUGAUGCCUAAUAUAUAAGCAGCUUCUCCAAGGUCCUUCAUUGAAAAACUCUUAUUCAAGUAGGCCUUAAUGCUGUCCAAAAGUUCUAUAUCAUUUCCCAUCAAAAGUAUGUCAUCUACAUAUAAUAUGAGAAAUGCUACAGAGCUCCCACUCACUUUCUUGUAAACACAGGCUUCUCCAUAAGUCUGCGUAAACCCAAACGCUUUGAUCAUCUCAUCAAAGCGAAUGUUCCAACUCCGAGAUGCUUGCACCAGCCCAUAAAUCGAGCGUUGGAGCUUGCACACCUUGUCAGCAUACUUAGGAUCGACAAAACCUUACGGCUGCAUCAUAUACCAUUCUUCCUUAAGGAAACCAUUAGGAAUGCCGUUUUGACGUCCAUUUGCCAUAUUUCAUAAUCAUAGAAUGCGGCAAUUGCUAACAUGAUUCGGACGGACUUCAGCUUCGCUACCGGUGAGAAAGUCUCAUCGUAGUCAACCCCUUGAACUUGUCGAUAACCCUUAGCGACAAGCCGAGCUUUAUAGAUGGUCACACUACCAUCCGCGUCUGUCUUCUUCUUAAAGAUCCAUUUAUUUUCUAUGGCUUGCCGCUCUACGGCCAAGUCAGUCAAAGUCCAUACUUCGUUUUCAUACAUGGAUCCUAUCUCGGAUUUCAUGGCUUCCAGCCAUUUGUCAGAAUCCGGGCCCGCCAUCGCUUCUUCAUAGUUUGAAGGUUCACCGUUGUCUAACAACAUGAUUUCCAAGACAGGGUUGCCGUACCAAUCUGGUGCGGAACGUGUCCUUGUGGACCUUCGAAUUUCAGUAGGAGCUUGAUCAGAAGUAUCUUGAUCAUCAUCAUUAACUUCCUCUCUAGUCGGUGCAGGCACCUCAGGAACAUUUUCUUGAGUUGCGCCAUUUUCCGGUUCAAGAGGUAAUACUUCAUCAAGUUCUACUUUCCUCCCAUUUACUUCUUUCGAGAGAAACUCCUUCUCUAGAAAGGAUCCAUUCUUGGCAACAAAGAUCUUGCCUUCGGAUCUGAGGUAGAAGGUAUACCCAAUAGUUUCUUUAGGGUAUCCUAUGAAGACGCAUUUUUCCGACUUGGGUUCGAGCUUUUCAGGUUGAAGUUUCUUGACAUAAGCAUCGCAUACCCAAACUUUUAGAAACGAUAGCUUAGCUUUCUUCCCAAACCAUAAUUCAUACGGUGUCGUCUCAACGGAUUUCGACGGAGCCCUAUUUAAAGUGAAUGCGGGAGUCUCUAAAGCAUAGCCCCAAAAAGAUAGCGGUAAAUCGGUAAGAGACAUCAUAGAUCACACCAUAUCUAAUAGAGUGCGAUUACGACGUUCGGACACACCAUUACGCUGAGGUGUUCCAAGCGGCGUGAGUUGUGAAACUAUUCCAUAUUUUCUUAAGUGUGUGCCAAACUCGUGACUCAAGUAUUCUCCUUCACGAUCUGAUCGCAGGAACUUGAUUUUCCUGUCACGUUGAUUCUCAACCUCACUCUGAAAUUCCUUGAACUUUUCAAAGGUCUCAGACUUGUGUUUCAUUAAGUAGACAUACCCAUAUAUACUCAAGUCAUCAGUGAGGGUGAGAACAUAACGCCACCGUGAGCCUCAACAGUCAUUGGACCGCACACAUCAGUAUGUAUGAUUUCCAAUAAGUUGGUUUCUCGCUCCAUUGUUCCUGAGAACGGAGUCUUGGUCAUUUUACCCAUGAGGCAUGAUUCGCACAUGUCAAAUGAUUCGUAAUCAAGAGACUCUAAAAGUCCAUCAGCAUGGAGCUUCUUCAUGCGUUUGACACCUAUGUGACCAAGGCGGCAGUGCCACAAGUAUGUGGGACUAUCAUUAUCAAUCUUACAUCUUUUGGUACUCACACUAUGAACAUGUGUAGCAUUACGCUCGAGAUUCAUUAAGAAUAAACCAUUCACCAUCGGAGCAUGACCAUAAAACAUAUCUCUCAUAUAAAUAGAACAACCAUUAUUCUCGGAUUUAAAUGAGUAGCCAUCUCGAAUUAAACGAGAUCCUGAUACAAUGUUCAUGCUCAAAGCUAGCACUAAAUAACAAUUAUUAAGGUUUAAAACUAAUCCCGAAGGUAAAUGUAGAGGUAGCGUGCCGACGGCGAUCACAUUGACCUUGGAACCAUUCCCGACGCGCAUCGUCACCUCGUCCUUCGCCAGUCUCCGCUUAUUCCGCAGCUCCUGUUUUGAGUUACAAAUGUGAGCAACCGCACCGGUAUCAAAUACCCAGGAGCUACUACGAGUACUGGUAAGGUACACAUCAAUUACAUGUAUAUCACAUAUACCUUUCGUGAUGCCGGCCUUCUUGUCCGCUAAGUAUUUGGGGCAGUUUCGCUUCCAGUGACCACUUCCCUUGCAAUAAAAGCACUUAGUCUCGGGCUUGGGUCCAUUCUUUGGCUUCUUCCCGGCAGCUUGCUUGCCGGGCGCGGCAACUCCCUUGUCGUCCUUCUUGAAGGCUUUCUUACCCUUGCCCUUCUUGAACUUAGUGGUUUUAUUCACCAUCAACACUUGAUGUUCCUUUUUGACUUCUACCUCAGCUGAUUUCAGCAUUGCAAAUACGUCAGGAAUGGUCUUUUCCAUCCCCUGCAUAUUGAAGUUUAUCACAAAGCUCUUGUAGCUCGGUGGAAGCGACUGAAGGAUUCUGUCAAUGACCGUGUCAUCCGGGAGAUUAACUCCCAGCUGAGUCAAGCGGUUAUGCAACCCAGACAUAAUGAGUAUGUGCUCACUGACAGAACUGUUUUCCUCCAUCUUACAGCUGAAGAACUUGUCGGAGACUUGAUAUCUCUCGACCCGGGCAUGAGCUUGGAAAACCAUUUUCAGCUCUUCGAACAUCUCAUAUGCUCCGUGUCUCUCAAAACGCUUUUGGAGCCCCGGCUCUAAGCUGUAAAGCAUGCCGGACUGAACGAGGGAGUAGUCAUCGGUACGUGCCUGCCAAGCGUUCAUAACGUCUUGUUCUGCAGGGAGAACAGGUGUGUCACCUGGCGGUGCUUGUAGGACAUAAUCUUUCUUGGCAGCUAUGAGGAUGAUCCUCAGGUUUCGGACCCAGUCCGUGUAGUUGCUGCCAUCGUCUUUCAGCUUGGUUUUCUCUAGGAACGCGUUGAAGUUGAGGACUACGUUGGCCAUUUGAUCUACAAGACAUAUUGUAAAUUUUUUAGACUAAGUUCAUGAUAAUUAAGUUCAUCUAAUCAAAUUAUUCAAUGAACUCCCACUUAGAUAGACAUCCCUCCAGUAAUCUAAGUAUAACAUGAUCCGAGUUAACUAGGACGUGUCCGAUCAUCACGUAAGACGGACUAGUCAACAUCGGUGAACAUCUUCAUGUUGAUCGUAUCUUCUAUAUGACUCAUGCUCGACCUUUCGGUCUUCUGUGUUCCGAGGCCAUGUCUGUACAUGCUAGGCUCGUCAAGUCAACCUAAGUGUUUGCAUGUGUAAAUCUGUCUUACACCCGUUGUAUGUGAACGUUGGAAUGAAUCUAACACCCGAUCAUCACGUGGUGCUUCGAAACAACGAACUGUCGCAAUGGUGCACAGUUAGGAGAAACACUUUCUUGAAAUUAUUAUGAGGGAUCAUCUUAUUUACUAUCGUUGUUCUAAGUAAACAAGAUGCAGAAACAUGAUAAACAUCACAUGCAAUCAAAUAGUGACAUGAUAUGGCCAAUAUCACAUAGCUCCUUUGAUCUCCAUCUUGGGGCUCCAUGAUCAUCUUGUCACCAGCAUGACACCAUGAUCUCCAUCAUCAUGAUCUCCAUCACAGUGUCUCCAUGAAGUUGCUCGCCAACUAUUACUUCUACUACUAUGGCUAACACGUUUAGCAAUAAAGUAAAGUAAUUUACAUGGCGUUUCUCAAUGAAACGCAGGUCAUACAAAAAAUAAAGACAACUCCUAUGGCUCCUGCCGGUUGUCAUACUCAUCGACAUGCAAGUCGUGAUUCCUAUUACAAUAGCAUGAGCAUCUCAUACAUCACAUGUAUAUCAUUCAUCAUUCAUCACAACUUUGGCCAUAUCACAUCACAGAACACUUGCUGCAAAAACAAGUUAGACGUCCUCUAAUUGUUGUUGCAAGUUUUACGUGGCUGCAAUAGGGUUCUAGCAAGAACGUUUUCUUACCUACGUGAAAGCCACAACAUGAUUUGUCAACUUCUAUUUACCCUUCAUAAGGACCCUUUUCAUCGAAUCCGCUCCAACUAAAGUGGGAGAGACAGACACCCGCCAGCCACCUUAUGCAACUUGUGCAUGUUAGUCGGUGGAACCGGUCUCACGUAAGCGUACGUGUAAGGUUGGUCCGGGCCGCUUCAUCCCACAAUACCGUUGAAGCAAGAUAAGACUAGUAGCGGCAAGAAAGUUGACAACAUCUACGCCCACAACAAAUUGUGUUCUACUCGUGCAAAGAGAACUACGCAUAGACCUAGCUCAUGAUGCCACUGUUGGGGAACGUUGCAGAAAACAAAAUUUUUCCUACGGUUUCACCAAGAUCCAUCUAGGAGUUCAUCUAGCAACGAGUGAUCGGAUUGCAUCUACGUACAUUGUAGAUCGCGAGCGGAAGCGUUCAAAGAACGGGGAUGAGGGAGUCGUACUCGACGUGAUCCAAAUCACCGGAGAUCCUAGCGCCGAACGGACGGCACCUCCGCGUUCAACAGACGUACGGUCAGCGUAACGUCUCCUUCCUCUUGAUCCAGCAAGGGGCAAGGAGAGGUUGAGGAAGAUGGCUCCAGCAGCAGCACGAUGGCGUGGUGGUGAUGGAGCUGCAGUACUCCGGCAGGGCUUCGCCAAGCUCUAUGGAGGAGGAUGUGUUGGAGAGGGAGAGGGAGGCACCAAAGGCAAAGGUAAGAGGUCCUCCAUCCUCCCCACUAUAUAUAGGGGGGCCUGGGGGGGGGGGCGCCGGCCCUAGGAGAUGCAAUCUCCUAGGGGGGCGGCGGCCAAGGGGUGGGGGACUUGCCCCCAAGCAAGGGGGCGCCCCCCCCUUUAGGGUUUCCCCCACCCUAGGCGCAUGGGCCCUAAGGGAAGUGGCGCCCCAGCCCACUUUGGGCUGGAUCCCUUCCCACUUCAGCCCAUGGGGCNNNNNNNNNNNNNNNNNNNNNNNNNNNNNNNNNNNNNNNNNNNNNNNNNNNNNNNNNNNNNNNNNNNNNNNNNNNNNNNNNNNNNNNNNNNNNNNNNNNNNNNNNNNNNNNNNNNNNNNNNNNNNNNNNNNNNNNNNNNNNNNNNNNNNNNNNNNNNNNNNNNNNNNNNNNNNNNNNNNNNNNNNNNNNNNNNNNNNNNNNNNNNNNNNNNNNNNNNNNNNNNNNNNNNNNNNNNNNNNNNNNNNNNNNNNNNNNNNNNNNNNNNNNNNNNNNNNNNNNNNNNNNNNNNNNNNNNNNNNNNNNNNNNNNNNNNNNNNNNNNNNNNNNNNNNNNNNNNNNNNNNNNNNNNNNNNNNNNNNNNNNNNNNNNNNNNNNNNNNNNNNNNNNNNNNNNNNNNNNNNNNNNNNNNNNNNNNNNNNNNNNNNNNNNNNNNNNNNNNNNNNNNNNNNNNNGGAAGAUGGCUCCAGCAGCAGCACGAUGGCGUGGUGGUGAUGGAGCUGCAGUACUCCGGCAGGGCUUCGCCAAGCUCUAUGGAGGAGGAUGUGUUGGAGAGGGAGAGGGAGGCACCAAAGGCAAAGGUAAGAGGUCCUCCAUCCUCCCCACUAUAUAUAGGGGGGCCUAGGGGGGGGGGCGCCGGCCCUAGGAGAUGCAAUCUCCUAGGGGGGCGGCGGCCAAGGGGUGGGGGACUUGCCCCCAAGCAAGGGGGCGCCCCCCCCUUUAGGGUUUCCCCCACCCUAGGCGCAUGGGCCCUAAGGGAAGUGGCGCCCCAGCCCACUUUGGGCUGGAUCCCUUCCCACUUCAGCCCAUGGGGCCCUCCGGGAUAGGUGGCCCCACCCGGUGGACCCCCGGGACCCUUCCGGUGGUCCCGGUACAAUACCGGUGACCCCGAAACUUGUCCCGAUAGCCGAAAUAGCACUUCCUAUAUAUAAUUCUUUACCUCCGGACCAUUCUGGAACUCCUCGUGAUGUCCGGGAUCUCAUCCGGGACCCCGAACAACAUUCGGGUUACUGCAUAUACAUAUCCCUAUAACCCUAGCGUCACCGAACCUUAAGUGUGUAGACCCUACAGGUUCGGGAGACAUGUAGACAUGACCGAGAUCGCUCUCCGGUCAAUAACCAACAGCGGGAUCUGGAUACCCAUGUUGGCUCCCACAUGCUCCUCGAUGAUCUCAUCGGAUGAACCACGAUGUCGAGGAUUCAAGCAACCCCGUAUACAAUUCCCUUCGUCAGUCGGUAUGUUACUUGCCCGAGAUUCGAUCGUCGGUAUCCCAAUACCUCGUUCAAUCUCGUUACCGGCAAAUCACUUUACUCUUACCGUAAUGCAUGAUCCCGUGACCAGACACUUGGUCACUUUGAGCUCAUUAUGAUGAUGCAUUACCGAGUGGGCCCAGUGAUACCUCUCCGUAAUACGGAGUGACAAAUCCCAGUCUUGAUCCGUGUCAACCCAACAGACACUUUCAGAGAUACCCGUAGUAUACCUUUAUAGUCACCCAGUUACGUUGUGACGUUUGGUACACCCAAAGCACUCCUACGGUAUCCGGGAGUUACACGAUCUCAUGGUCUAAAGGAAAAGAUACUUGACAUUGGAAAACUCUAGCAAACGAACUAUACGAUCUUGUGCUAUGUUUAGGAUUGGGUCUUGUCCAUCACAUCAUUCUCCUAAUGAUGUGAUCUCGUUAUCAAUGACAUCCAAUGUCCAUAGUCAGGAAACCAUGACUAUCUGUUGAUCAACGAGCUAGUCAACUAGAGGCUUACCGGGGACAUGUUGGUGUCUAAGUAUUCACACAUGUAUUAUGAUUUCCGGAUAACACAAUUAUAGCAUGAAUAAAAGACAAUUAUCAUGAACAAGGAAAUAUAAUAAUAAUGCUUUUAUUAUUGCCUCUAGGGCAUAUUUCCAACACUUUCCUCUACGAGGCAUCACCCUUUGUCACUCUUGCCCGCACACCUCCCCUCAAAACGAGAAGGCCGAGCACGGCAUUCGCUCCAUGAACGACAUUAUGCGCACACUCCUCCAAGCUCACAUGCCACCUUCGUUUUGGGUCGACGCCCUCAACACCACCACAUACUUACUGAAUUUCGCCCAUCCCGAGCCAUCGACCACAUCCCACCCUACUACGCCCUCUUUGGUACCUCUCCAGAUUACAGCUCCCUACGCACGUUCGUCUGCCUCUGCUACCAAAACCUCUAUGCCACUAUGCCCUACAAAUUAGCUCCCCGCUCCGUUCGCUGCAUUCUCCUCGGUAUGCCACUUGAGCAUAAAGGCUACAGGUGCCUGGACCUCUCCAAUCGAUGACUCAUUACCUCUAGACAUGUCAUUUUUUGACGAAAACACCUUCCCAUUCAUUGAUGCCCCGAGCGGCCACACGCCUGCACGAGCAGGGUCUGCUCCGGCCGCAGAAAAUCAAGCACCCACCUCCAUCCCCCUCGGAUCACCCACUCCACCAGUCACGCACCACCUCCCAUCCCCAAGCAUGCAGCCCGACCCCACCUCCCAAACCCAUGCAGUGAUUCACCCAUCACCUGCAUGCGGCGCGCCUCCCCUCGUGUCGACUCCACGCCUAGAUGCAGUAGCCCGCCACUUACGCCUCUGCAUGCAGCGCCCCUCACUCUAUGCCGCCCACGCAUGUAGUACGAUCCCACCCUGAGUCGUGCCGAUUUUACCUGCCAAAAACUUGCAUGCCAGGCGCACCUGCGCAAAGUCCAGUUUUCUGCAGCCAAAGAAGCUUCUGACCGUCGCUACCUCUCCCGCCCCCAUCUCUCCUAUUCCCGCAAACUACAAAGAAGCUCUCAAAGACCCCAACUGGUACAAUGUUAUGCUUGAAGAAUUUAACGCUUUGUUGCAAAGCAAAACGUGGUCUUUGGUUGCUUGCUCUGCAGGUGUCAACUUGGUGUCUGGGAAGUGGAUAUUCCGCCACAAGCUUCAUCUCGACGGCUCCCUCGCUCGGUACAAGGCGUGUUGGGUACUUCGUGGCUUCACAAAGCAGCCUGGCAUUGACUACGGGGAGACCUUCAGCCCCGUGUGGUGAAACCGGCCACCAUCCGCGUCAUCCUCAGUGUCGCCAUCAGUAACCGUUGGGCCAUUAACCAGCUGGACAUGAAGAACCCCUUCCUCCACGGCACUCUCGAUGAGCUCGUCUACAGUCAGCCGCCGGCUAGCUUCGUCGACACCGCACACCCCUCGACCAUGUGCAAACUCCAAAAGUCCUUGUAUGACUUAAGCAGGCUCCUCGUGCGUGGUUCCAGCGGUUCACCACAUUCCUUCUCUCGCUCGGCUUCACGGUGUCAAGAUCCGACACAUCCCUAUUUAUUCUCCGCCGUGGCACCUCAGUGGCAUACCUCUUGCUAUAUGUUGACGAUAUCAUUCUCACCGCUAGCUCCUCCGGGUUACUCACCAUCGUUACCGCCGCUCUCACCUCUGAGUUCUCCAUGGCGAACCUCAGCUCGCUCCACCACUUCCUUGGCGUCAAUGUUCAGUGCAGCCCCACUGGUUUGUUUCUUUCCGAGCAACAGUAUGCGCUCGAGAUCCUUGAUCGCGCCUCCAUGCUCAACUGCAAACCCAUCACUACCCCCGUCGACACCAAAGCAAAGCUCGCCACCUCGCCACCUCAGCUAACGACUCUGCUCCUGACCCAUCCCUCUUCCAUAGUCUCGCCGGUGCCCUGCAGUACCUCACGCUCAUGCGCCCGGACAUAGCCUACACCGUCCAGCAGGUGUGCCUCGUCAUGCACUCGCCGCGCAUGCUACACGCCGCCCUCCUCAAAUGUAUCAUGCGUUAUCUGCGUGGUACCACCCACCUUGGCCUUCAUAUUCGUCUGUCUGCUUCAUCCCAGCUCAUGUCUUACACAGACGCCGACUGGGCCGGUUGUCCCGACACCGUACCUGACGCUCGAUGUCUGGCUACUACAUGUACAUCGGUGACAACCUCGUCUCCUGGUCUUCGAAGCGACAAACCACCUUGUCGCGAUCGAGUGCGGAGGCAGAGUACCGAGCUGUCGCCAACGCGGUCACGGAGUCGUGUUGGCUACGAAGCUUCUUCAGGAUAUCGGAUGGCCUCCAUGGUGCUACCACUGUUUACUGAGACAACGUAUCGGUGACUGAAGGAAAUAUGCCCUAGAGGCAAUAAUAAAGUUAUUAUUUAUUUCCUUAUAUCAUGAUAAAUGUUUAUUAUUCAUUCUAGAAUUGUAUUAACGGAAACAUAAUACAUGUGUGAAUACAUAGACAAACAGAGUGUCACUAGUAUGCCUCUACUUGACUAGCUCGUUGAUCAAAGAUGGUUAUGUUUCCUAACCAUAGACAUGAGUUGUCAUUUGAUUAACGGGAUCACAUCAUUAGGAGAAUGAUGUGAUUGACUUGACCCAUUCCGUUAGCAUAGCACUUGAUCGUUUAGUUUGUUGUUAUUGCUUUCUUCAUGACUUAUACAUGUUCCUAUGAUUAUGAGAUUAUGCAACUCCCGUUUACCAGAGGAACACUUUGUGUGCUACCAAACGUCACAACGUAACUGGGUGAUUAUAAAGGUGCUCUACAGGUGUCUCCGAAGGUACUUGUUGGGUUGGCGUAUUUCGAGAUUAGGAUUUGUCACUCCGAUUGUCGGAGAGGUAUCUCUAGGCCCUAUCGGUAAUGCACAUCACUUAAGCCUUGCAAGCAUUGCAACUAAUGAGUUAGUUGCGGGAUGAUGUUUUACGGAACGAGUAAAGAGACUUGCCGGUAACGAGAUUGAACUAGGUAUUGAGAUACCGACGAUCGAAUCUCGGACAAGUAACAUACCGAUGACAAAGGAAAUAACGUAUGUUGUUAUGCGGUCUGACCGAUAAAGAUCUUCGUAGAAUAUGUGGGAGCCAAUAUGAGCAUCCAGGUUCCGCUAUUGGUUAUUGACCGGAGACAUGUCUCGGUCAUGUCUACAUAGUUCUCGAACCUGUAGGGUCCGCACGCUUAAAGUUUCGGUGACGAUUGUAUUAUGAGUUUAUGUGAUUUGAUGUACCGAAGGUAGUUUGGAGUCCCGGAUGAGAUCGGGGACAUGACGAGGAGUCUCAAAAUGGUCGAGACGUAAAGAUCGAUAUAUUGGACGACUAUAUUCGGACAUCGGAAAGGUUCCGAGUGAUUCGGGUAUUUUCGGGAGUACCGGGAGUUACGGGAAUACGAGGAAGAAGUAAUGGGCCUCAUGGACCAAGUGGUGGAAGAGAGGAGGCAGGGCGCGCGGCCCUCCUAGCCCAAACCGAAUUGGACUAGGGGGCCGGCCCCCCUUUCCUCCUUUUCCUCCUUCUCCUUCCUUCUCCUUCUCCUCCUUCCUUUCCUCCUCCUAGUAGGAGUAGGAAAGGGGAGUCCUACUCCUACUAGGAGGAGGACUCCUCCUCCUGGCGCGCCCAUAGAGGGCCGGUCGGCCUCCCCCCUUGCUCCUUUAUAUACAGGGGCAGGGGGGCACCUCUAGACACACAAGUUGAUCUUCGUGAUCGUUCCUUAGCCGUGUGUGGUGCCCCCUUCCACCAUAUUCCACCUCGGUCAUAUCGUAGCGGUGCUUAGGCGAAGCCCUGCGUCAGUAGAACAUCAUCACCGUCAUCACGCCGUCGUGCUGACGAAACUCUCCCUCAACACUCGGCUGGAUCGGAGCUCGAGGGACGUCACCGAGUUGAACGUGUGAGAACUCGGAGGUGCCGUACGUUCGGUACUUGGAUCGGUCGGAUCGGGAAGACGUACGACUACUUCCUCUACGUUGUGUCAACACUUCCGUUGCUGGUCUACGAGGGUACGUAGACGACACUCUCCCCUCUUAUUGCUAUGCAUCACCAUGUUCUUGCGUGUGCGUAGGAAAUUUUUUGAAAUUACUACGUUAUCCAACAAUGACGUACCUCUCCACCAACCCGGUACAACACCAACGCACCAAGCACGUGGAGAUUGAUCUUCAUUUCGUGCGCGACCGCGUUGUCUUCGGAGAUGUUCGUGUUCUGCAUGUUCCGGCAACCUCCCAGUUUGCCGACGUUUUCACCAAGGGGAUACCAACCGGCGUCUUGACAGAGUUCCGGUCCAGCCUCAAUGUCGUCGAAGACCCCGUUGCGGCUGUGGGGGGCUGCUGGAAUUGUAAAACGCCUCCUGCAUGUACAUUACCGGGUCCCUCGGCUGGACAGAUCGGCUCGCGCAAGUAGCAUGGGACACCUGCGUCUGUUACACACGAUCCCCUUCUCCGUUGCUUGUAGCUGCUGUACCUAGGCGUAUAUAUAUAACUCUGUACAAUCUGGAAUAGACACGGUGAAGAUCACCUUUCAACUGUUCGCACUGUGCGGCCAAACCUUGUUUGGCUGGGACUGACAAAUGAAAAUGAUGCACCCGAGCACAUCCAGAAGGAUCUGAACGCUCGCAGUCCAAACCAGCUUAUCGGCAUUGGUACAGAGUUGAGGCAAAACCGAGCAGUGAAGCAAGCUCCAGCAUUUUCAACAUGAAGGAAACGAAAAAGACGAAACAGGCUCCAACAUUCUCGUCAAAAAAGAUAAGAAAAGGAAAAAAGAAACAGGCUCCAGCAUUCUUGACACAAAAGAAAUGAAGAAGGAAAACGAAACAGGCUCAGGCAUUCUUGACACAAAAGAAAAGAAAAAGGAAAAGGAGAAAGGCUCCAAUAUUCUUGACAAAAUAGAGAAGCAAAAGAAAAAGGAAUCAGGCACAAGCAUCCUCGACACAGAAGAAAAGAAAAGGGAAAAGGAAAUUGGAUCCAGCAUUCUCGAUAAAAAGGAAGAGAAACAGGAAACAGGUUCAACCAUUCUCGACAAAAAGGAAAAGAAAAAGAAAACAGGCUCCGACAUUUUGGACAAAAGAGAAAAGAACAAGGAAACGAAAACAGGCUCCAGCAUUGAUCUCGACAAGAAAGAAAAGAAAAAAAUUUGAAAAGCAAGCUCCGUCAGAACGGUAACAGUAGCACCAAUGCUAAAGAAGAGCAAAUUGAACAGUAGCACCAAGGUGAAGGAAGCUCAAGACCGAUGAGAUGUCCUGGUUUCUAUAUAUCCAAUUAAUAUACCAUAUUUUAAUUAUUGUAACAAUAUGAUUGUAUUUUUUGUGAUGUAAUGAGUCGUUUGAUUCGAACCUCUGUUUGUUCAGUUUCUGCUUGCUGCUGUUGUAAUCACAAACCGUCAUGUCAAAUAAAUGGAGUGAAUAGCAAAAAACUACCAUAUUACGGGCUAUCGUUCCGGAAAACUAUCGCUUGUUUUAAUUUUUCAAAAAACUACCACAAAAGUGGCUGGCUGUUCCAAAAAACCCAAGUGGCCGAACGGUUAAGUUUUAACUGGGGUUAUGACAUGUGGGGCCCGCCCGUCAGGGUUUUGUCGGCCACAGUGCUCACGGCGCGCGGGUGACGGCCGUUAGGGCGCACGGCCCGUCCCGACGAGGUCAAAAUGGAUCCGGCCCUCACUCUGUCUCCCUCUCGCUCACUCACUCUCUCCCCCCUCACUCUCACUCUCCCCCCUCGCUCUGUUUCCCCUGGCCGAGCUCUCCAUCGUCGCUGACCACCUCAGUUCCUCGUCGCCGGCCAGGAUGCCUUCUUGGAAUGAUGGGGAUGAGAGCUCCGACGAUAGCAUGGGGGGCAACCUGAUGGACAUGGAGUACUUUGUAAGCCUCAUCGUCCUCCUCUCUGUCAUUAUCUAGGGUUAGGGUUGAAUCGAUUUGGGAAUGAGGGUUGAUGAGCUGUAUAUUUGUAUGCAUGGAUUCAUUUGGUUUGGUUAUCUAUUAGUUUUGAUCUAGGGUAUGGAUGGCACUGUGAUGUCUGAUCUGACCUUGAGCAAGGCAAAGCUUGACUCAAGUUGAACUAGUUGAUGCAUUGGUUCUGAUCUACCUUUUACUGCAUGUAGGACACACCUGACACCAUCCCUGAGCCACUCUGGUGUGGUGCUCCCAUGGAGGAAGUUGCCAAGUGUACUCUGCAUGAUAUGAAGCCUAGGAAGUGUGUUGCUUUUGAAGGUGCUAAGACUGGGAGGAGGUUCUAUGGAUGCCCUGUUCAGGUGAGUAAUUGAGUAUCCUGGGUGGAUUCAGUUAUGCCUAGUGGAUUCAGUUAUUCCUAGUGGUUACUGAAUUUGUACAUUAACUCUAUUUGAACUGAAUUUAGUACUGAAUUUAUGGUUACAUGUCCUCCUUGUGUACCAACCCUCUUUUUGAAUUGAAGUUAGAACUGAAUUUCUGCAUUUUCUGAAGUAUGUGUUCUCUGAUCAAACUACAGGGAGGUGUGAAUUGUGGUGUAGUUCAGUGGGUUGAUCCUGCCUGGCCUGAUGUACUUAAGAACUGCCUCAUCAAGUUGUGGGAAAUGUUCCAUGAGCAAAACCUUGGAAGGUUUCAAGACAAGCAUGCAUAUGAGGAUGAGGUUGCCAAGUUGAAGAAGGACUAUGAUCUGCUCUGCACUGAGUAUCAUAAAAUGGUUGAUGAUGUUAGCAAGAUGUUUGACUGGCAUGAUGGUGUUGGCAAGAUUGACUACCAAAAAGCAAUGGAUGCUGGGAAAUUUGAGAAGCAGAAGGAAGAGCUAGAGCUGGAGAUGAAGAUGGAGAAGCUAAGGCUAGCAAAAGAACAGAGGUGUAUCCUUCAGGCCCAGGCAGACAUAAUUCACAACACCAGGAAGGCAAUGAAAGAGAUAAAGGUGGACAGGGAUCUUUUUGCACAAGAGAAGACAAAGCUUGAGAAAGUAGUUGCUGAUCUGCUAAAUGCUGGCCAUGGGAGCAAGGAAAAGCUUGAGAAAAUCAAGGCCAUACUGGAGGCUUGAAGAUUUGGACAAUGGUGGUUAAGUAAGUAAGGUGGCCUACACAUAUAACAGGCCUUGCAAGAUGAUGGUAGGAGUAUAUUUUGUGCAGUCCUAUAUGAACUAUUUAAGUUAUGGUAACUAGAGUGGUGGAGAACCUUUGCUAAGUCUGGCUUAUGUUAUUGUACUGUUAAGAACCUAUCUAUCUUAAGUAAUGCAGUGAAGAACUGUUUUAUUUCUUUAGGUUGUUUUCCUGAAAGUAGCAAUGCUGAACUAGUAUAUUUUUGGGCCUAAAACCAUUAUGUACACAUUGUGGGCCUAGACUGGGCUGUUUUAUUACUCCACCUACCUACCACCAACCAUUAGUAGUCUAUAAAGCCCACCCCUUGAGUGAAACCGCAGUCAAUCCCCCCAUCCCCACCCUUCUCAACCCCCCAGCCGCCAAAGAAACCCUAGAAUCCAAGGGAGAGAUGGAUCCUGGAGAGGUCAUAGAUGGAGAAGAAGAGGUGCCCAGACAAGCCAGGCGCAGAGAUGCAAGGAGGAGGGCGAGAAGGCAACUUGCUGAGAUGAUCCUUGCAACACGCAACCGCAAGGACAUAAAGCAGUUCCUGGAGGCAUUCCCCCCUGGUUCCAACCCUAGUGAUGAUGAUAUCAUCUACUGGGCAAGGAGGAGGGCAAAUUUCCAUCCCUUUUAGGUCACUAGGCAAAGGUGGACUAGGAUUUUGUACCCAUGAUGCUGCUGUUAUGUUUCUUUGUUCCUAGAUCUGUCUUUCUAUCUAUGUGAUGUUUGAAGUUGGUGUAAGAACAAUGUUGAAUGAGCUAUGUAUGUGACGAAUCAAGUUGUCCAUGAUGCAAUGCAAUGUAUGAAGCUGGUGAAAGAAAAAUGUUGAAUGAUCUAUCUAUGUGAUGAAUCAAUCUGUCUAUGAUGCAAUUUAUGAGUGAAUCUUUUAUCUAUAUUUGUAUGUAUGAAUGAAUUGAUCUGGUGAUCUUGAUGUUUUAAGUUAGAUAUGUUAUGGUUUGUUCAGAUGGCCAUAUCUUGUUGUUUUAGGUUUGAUCUCUUAGGGUUUGGUGCCUAGAUGGGAAAAUCUUGAUGUUUUAGCUUUGAUAUGUUAGGUUUUGGUCCUAGAUAGCCACUUUGGGGUUGGUCAACAAGUAGCCACCCAAAGUGGCCAAAUUUGGGUGGCUUUAGGGUUGGUCGACAAGUUCCACCCCAAAGUGGCCAAAUGUGGCCACUUUGGGGUUGGUCGACAAGUAGCCCCCCAAAGUGACCAAAUUGACCUAAUCAUAUCAAUCAAUUAUCAACAAAAUAAAUCACUUGAUCUACAUAACAAUGCUCAGCAUAAGAAAUAAUUUCAUAUGAAACAAUUCAUAACCUAGGACAUAUCAAAUCAAAAUAAAGCUUGACAACAGAUAACUUAAUUGUUCCAAGCAGUUCAAACACAGACCAUAUAACUUAAUUGUUCCAAGCAGUUCAUACAUAGACCACAUAACUUAAUUGUUCAAAUGAAAAAAAAGUUCACUGCAAAUAACACAGAUAGCAAGCAUGCCUAGCAAGUAGAGUUCAAGGCAUAAAGCAUAGUUGAGUGCAACACAUUCAAUGGUUGCCACUGGCUGUGAAAUACAAAGCAAGUUUGCUUGGGGCCUUCCUCUUCCUCUUAGAACCAACAUCAGCUUGACCUGAUGUUGAUGCUGCCCUUGGAGCAUUGAAACCUCUUGCACUUGACCUGGUGUUCUUUACUGGAGAUGAUGCACUUGACCUGGUGUUGUUGGCUGGUGCUGAAGCAGGUGGUGGGUUCUUUCUCUUUCUUGAUCCACCUGUUGAAACUGCAGUAGAUGUGGUUGCCCUUGUUGUAGCAGAUGUGGUUGACCUUGUUGAAGUUGUUGCUAGUUUCCUGCCCCUAAGUGGUCCUAAAGCUGGAGCUGGACCUGAAGCUGGAGCUGGACUUGAAGCUGGAGCUGGACCUGAUGAUGUGGCCUGGUGGUUGUUUUUCCUUGUCAUAAACUUGGCCUUAAGUCCGUCUCCAUAGAUUGUCCACCUGUGGCCUUGCAGACCACAGUUACUGCAUGUUAUUGUGCCCAUCCUUGAUGUAUCCUUUGGAGCUGGCACCUCAAAUUCACCCUUUCUCCUAGCUGUCUGCUUCUUGCCUUUCUUCUCCCUGAAAACUGGUGGUUCUAUGUCUGGUGUGUUGGUGUUGGGCCAGAAUUCAGGGCCAGGGACAGGGUAGAUGAUGUGCUGGUAUGCAGCCUUAUACAUUGGCUUCUUAAAGAAUGGAUGCACAUAAUCUUCUGGGUGAACUUUUAUCUUCUGCAUUGCAGAUAUUGCAUGGUGGCAAGGUGAUCCAGUCAUGUCCCACCUCCUGCAAGAGCAGCUCCCUACAUCAAGCUUCACACAAUAUGUGUUCUCUCCACUAGUUACUUGCCAGAUGUUGGGACCAGCCAUGUUUGCUUCACAGUAUUUAGCCCACUUCUUGCUCUCCUCAAGCUUCUCCAUGUAAUCUGGGGUUAUUUCCCACCUACAGCUCUCUGUUUUCUCUCUGAUGCCCUGGUACUUAACCAUUAGUUUGGUCCUCAACCCUUCAAACAUGGUCUUAAUUAGUUUUGACCUAACAUCUAGAAUCAUUUUUUUGAAAACCUCACUAAGGUUGUUCACUACCAAGUCAGUCUUGCACACAUGAUCCAUUGCAUAUCUAGCCCAACACUCCUUAGGGAUGCCAUUCAACCACAUGUAGGCUGGUUCACAUGCUGCUUUCAAACCUGCCAUUCCUUCUUUGUGACCAUGUUUAGUGAAGGAAUAGCUAGCUUUGUCAACCCAUUUCUUAAGUUCUUCUGCUCUAAAGCCAGCUGACUGGAAGUUGGCAUAUAUGUGUCUUAGGCAAUAUCUUUGUGGGGAUUGAGGAAAUACUUCAUUAAUUGCUUUAAGAAGGCCCUGUUGUUUGAUUACAUAAGGUAGUAAUGAGAUAACUAUAGCAGCAUUGCUAUGUGCAUAAGAAUAAUACAGAGCCAGAGAAAAUACCUUCUGCCUGUCAGACAUGAUGGUGUAGUUUCCAAACUGGUUGCUGGUGCCAAUGCAGACUCUAAGUUGGUUUAAAAACCAGGUCCAGCUAGGCCCAUCCUCUUUGUCAACCACCCCAAAAGCAAUUGGGAACACAUUGUUGUUCCCAUCUCUCCCAGUUGCUACCAAUAUCUGUUGGCCUGUGGAUAACUUGAUGAAGCAACCAUCAAGUCUUGCAUAAACAGAGAUAGUUAGGGCAAAAUUGAAUAACUUGAUUACAUUUGUAACAUGAUUAAAUCACUGAUUUGUACCUAUGAAAGGCCUACAACCAGCAAGAAAUCCAUCUUUUGAUGCCUGGAGGCAAUAGAACAUGUACUUGAACCUUGGUGUGGGGGCUGGGUUCAAAGGAUCCUCAAAAGUUGUCACUAUGCACCUGCUUCCAGGGUUUGUGUCAAGCACACAUUGUAGGUAGUCCCUCAACCUCAGAUACUGCUUUCUAUGAUCACCUUGCACAACAUCAACAGCCAUCAGUCUUGCCCUAUAUGCCAAACUCCUAGGUACAUGCACCCCAAACUUCUUCUUAGUAUGUUUGAGAACUGUCUCUACAUCAGCCUUUACAUUUGAUCUAACUGUGUCCUCCACAGCUUCUGCAACCCAUUCAGCAGUAACCUUUGUACUCUCUCCACAAGCUCCACAACUAUGAUCCAUGUGGCACUUCUUGAUUGUGAAUGUAUCUUCAUGGGCUACUUUGGAUGCAGUCAUGAAAAAAUCACAUCCAUUCUUCCUCUCUGGGCACCAAACAAUAACCCUUGAUGGUUCAUUCCUAUGGUACUGAAAGUUUCUCAAAGUCCUAACAUGAAAAUUUCUCAAUGCCUUUCUAAACUCAUACACAUUGGUGAAGCAAAGGUCCUUGCACAGCUGCUCAUGUGCAUCAGGUACCUUUGGGUCAUACCAUUUCCUCUCUUUCUUCUUCUUCAAUCUUCUCUUCCUUCCAGAAGGUAGUCUUGGAGUCUCCCCAUCUGAGUCAGAAAUGCCCAUAUCACCAGGGAAGCAAUACUCAUCAGCUUCAAGUACAAAAUCUUGAAACUUUGGGAUCUCUGGCUGACUGUGAGCUCUGGAAGUUGGACCUGGAUUUGCUACUGCUCUUCUCACAGGCUUGAGUUUCUCAGGCCUGCAUUUUUCCACAACUAUUUCCUCUCCACUGUCUGCCUCUUUCUCCUCCUGCCAAAACUCUGAAACAUCACUGUCACCUUCAAACUGUGGUCUGUCUUCUAUAGCAUCUCUUUCUUCUUCAUUUCCAAUAUUUUCUUCACCUCUCUUCCAAGCCUUGUAAGACAUCUUUAUCCCUCUAUAGUCACCCCUAUCAAUCUCAAAGUCUGAGGAUGAUUUGUCAAUAUCAUCAUCCUCUUGACCAGCAGCCUGUCCAUCAUCAUCUCCACCAUUAGCUUCUGAAAUGUUGAAGUUACAGCUUUGCUGUGUGUUCAAAUUAACUUCAAGAGGGUGGACCACUCCAUCUUGUGACAGACUUAACACAAAACCAGGACCCCCCAGUGGGUUGCCUAUUGGAAUUUGUUCUUCACAAACAUUGUGAGCCCUGUUACAUUCAACAUCUCUAUCUUCAUUUGCCUUGGAAACAAUGAUAUUGAGCACUGUGAAAUCUAAGUGGUCUAUCAUUUCUUCAACUGCAUCUUGACUGUCCAAAAGAAAUAAACCUUCCUGUCCAAUCCCUUGUUCUUUUACCCAGUACAUGUAGUCAUCUGACCCAUAGCCUUCAGUCUCAGUAAGUGCUAUCAAGUUCAGAAAUGUGAUGUCUGAAACAGAAAACCUCCUUUCCAUAUUAUCUCUGCCCUGGAAAUGCAGCCUAACAUCCCAAACUUCAUCAUCUAGCCUGCAUUACAUAAUAUGUUAUUUGAAAAGCCCAACUAAGUAAGUGUUUUUGCUACAAAUAUUCAGUGCACACUACUAUAAAGUACAGUAAGGAAUCUGAAUCCAAAAAAUGCUUCUCUGAAUCCACCAUGCAUUUCUACUAAAUCUAACUAAUCCUUCAGUGCUAAGUGAUACUGUUGCAUCCAAAACAUGCCACAGAGUGUUUGCUCAACUAUUAUUCAGUGCAUGUUCAUGUUCUAAGAUGAAUCACAGCAGCAUCAACCUAGGGUUUGGUCAAAAAACUAACUAAAUUAUGCUAUGUUAUUUGAAAUGAACAAGCAGAAAUGCAGAAACUGUUGAAGGAGCUCAUAAGAGGAAAAAAACUUACUCCACCCCUCCAAAUGCAGAGGCCCAGUGCUGGGAGUUGGCCGGAUCUGCCUGCACAGCCCUAUCAAGAGACCUCGCUGCUCUGUACUCAAGCGAGAACUGGCAAUCAUCAGGCGACGGUGGUGUAGCCUGUGUCGUAGGAGCCUGCAUCAGAGCUGCAGCCUGUGGUGUCCGCUGCGGCGGCGGCGGCGCCGCCGGCUAGGUUGCGAAGCUACCACUCCCCAGCCAGUUAUCAACCUCUAAGAACUCGCCGCCUCCAUCCCCCCUUCCACCUCCACCCGUUGAAUGGCCGCCAUCGCCUAGUUUCGCCGCCGCCGCCGCCAUCGGAGAGGGAGGCGCGCACAAGAGAGAGGGAGACAGAGAGGGGGAAGACAGAGUGAGGGCGGGCCGGAUCCAUUUGACUUGGUCGGGACGGCCCGUGUGCCCUAACGGCCGUCACCCGCGCGCCGUGAGCACUGUGGCCGACAAAACCCUGACGGGCGGGCCCCACAUGUCAUAACCCCAGUUAAAACUUAACCGUUCGGCCACUUGGGUUUUUUGGAACAGCCAGCCACUUUUGUGGUAGUUUUUUGAAAAAUUAAAAAAAGCGGUAGUUUUCCGGAACGAUAGCCUGUAAUGUGGUAGUUUUUUGCUAUUUACUCCAAAUAAAUGCUUAAAAAGAGUGCAUCUAAUGGAGUAGUACAAAAUGGUAAAGAAAAUAAAUCAGCCACUAAUGGAGUAACAAAGGUGAUAGCACGGAGUUUGGUAGGCACCGACAAUGAGUAAGCAGGCUGAGGCCACCGGUGCACGAAGAGGAUCAGAAGCGCUGGUUGGGGCUGUGGUUUGGGGCGGCUGCGAUGAAACUUCUUAUUCAACGCUUAUAGCACCGUUUACAGUGUUAUCGGUACCUUUUUUUUGAGGGAAAGAGCCAACUUUAUUAAUCAAAAUCCACAGUGCGUGGGACACAACGAUGGUCAUGGGGCUGGCCAAGCCACACAUGACGCCCUGGUGGUAGCGAUAAAGAAAACCUAGCUAUCUCGUGAGCUUCAGCAUUCUGAGCUCGACUCUCAAAGGUGAAAUUACAUAAAAGUGGUGAUGAGCUCAUCUUUAUCUCUCUGAUUAUAGCUCCAUAAGUGCCAUGACUACCCAUAGCAAUGUCGCCAAUGACUUGUUUGCAGUCCGAAGCCACCACAAAACGUUGCACAUUAAGAUCUUGUGCUAGGGAAAUAGCCUCCCGACAUGCUAUGGCCUCCAGUGUCGCGGGGUCGCAAACUCCGACAAUGACAAGUGAUGAGCUCCCCAUAUAGACACCCUGGCUGUCACUGCAUAUGGCCGCGGCCGUGCCACCCCUCUGAAAUCUUACUGCCACGUCAACAUGAACCUUAGCAUAGCCAGCAGGUGGAGCCUUCAGCCUCUGAGUAGAAGCGUGGCCAGUAGCUGCAGAACGUACGUUGAUCUUUGCAGGGAGUGAGGCAGUAGCCAAAUCAGCCAUGAAGCGAGUUAUAAACUCCUUCGUCGCCCUGGGUGAUUGGAAUAUUGAUUCAUGGAUAGCUUUUCUCCUCGAGGUCCAGAUCGCCCAUAAGGUGACCGCCAGCAGAGUGAACUUCUCAUGUGUUAGCAUAUCCAUUAAUCCAAAGAGCCAGCUCUUCGCCCUCGUCUCCGUUGAUGCGACCAGACUGCAGCCCAAGUCCUCAUCUACCAACGCCCAUAUGCAUCUGGAGACUGUGCACUCCAGGAGGGAAUGACUCCAUGAAUCAGGAGAACCGCAGAGGCCGCACGAGCUAGUCGUUGACAUAUUACGAUGGGCCCUCACAUCCUCCGUCGGUAGUGACUGUUUUGAUAAACGCCAUAGAAACAUGCGUACUUUUGCUGGUACCACAGUUUUCCAGAGGGACUUCCAAGAGGCUUCAUCGACAUGGUUGCUGGAUGAUGCGCCGGAGCCCUCUAGCCACGCCUCUCGCCGUUGCUUCAUAGAUACCAACAUAUUAUAGGCUGACCUGACUGUGAAUUGUCCGGUUCUCUCGUGCAUCCAGCUCCAAAAGUCCUGCAUAGGAGCCGUACACAACGGGAUACCCAUGAUGAUUUUAGCAUCGAAAGGCAAGAAAGUUGCUUCCACCACAGAUCUCUUCCAUGAAGCAUUAGUUGCAUCGAUCAGUUCAGAUACUGUGUUGGGAGGAUUACUUACGCAACAACCAUACGGUCUCAUCAUCUCUGACCGGGGAAGCCAGUUUUCGGUCCAAAUGCUGGUGCUCGCCCCAUCUCCUAUCCGCUUGAUCAGUCCCAAUUUAAGAAUAUCCCGGCCUUCCACUAUGGCUCUCCAUAUCUGACUUGGAUGGUUCCCAAGUGUUGCCUCAAGUAUAGAUGUAUGUGGAAAAUAUACGCUCUUCAGAAUCCGUGCACUCAGAGACUCGGGGUCUUGUAACAUUCUCCAUGCCUGCCUGGCUAACAUGGCAAGAUUGAAAAGCUCAAAAUCUUUGAAUCCAAGGCCUCCCAUGCUUUUUGGUUGUGUCAUUGCUUCCCAAGAGACCCAGUGAGGUUUGCGUUGGCCGUUUGAGCUCCCCCACCAAAAUUUCCUUAUUAGCAUAUUGAGGUGCUCACAUAACCCCCUAGGUAGUUUGAAACAAGACAUGGAAAAUACCGGCACUGACUGGGCAACAGAUUUGACUAGUACCUCUUUUCCUGCCGCCGACAAAGUUCUCUCUAUCCAUCCCUGAAUUUUGCUCCAUAAUCUGUCCUUCAAAUAUUUGAAGGCACCGUUUUUUGAACUCCCUAUAUCAGAUGGCAUGCCCAGAUACUUCUCAUUCAAGGUUUCCUUGGGGACAUUGAACAUACCUUUUAUAGCAUUGCGAGUUUCCUCAGAAACGCCUUUACUAAAGAAAAUUGAGGAUUUGUUGUAGUUGAUUCUUUGACCUGAAGCUUGGCUAUAAAUUUCCAACAACUGGUUAACCUCUGUAGCACCCGCACUGUUGGCCUUGAAGAACAGCAGGCUGUCAUCAGCGAAUAGAAGAUGGUUAACUAGUGGUGCCUGCAGCGCCACCUGAAUCCCACCCAAGUUUGAUGACUCACUUUGUGAUUUGAAAAGGCACGACAUGCCCUCUGCUGCUAACAAGAACAAGUACGGUGAUAUUGGGUCACCUUGUCGGAUUCCACGUGAUGGGUUGAACUCCUCAAGUUUCUUUCCAUUGAACAUGACUGCGAAUUUUACUGAGGUAACCAUGCCCAUUACAAUAUCCACCCACCUUCUGUUAAAACCCAAUAUAAUCAUGAUGGCUUAGAGAUAAGCCCAUUCAACUCGAUCAUACGCCUUCAUCAUAUCCAAUUUCAGAGCACAUGAGUGAUUUUUCUUUUCCUUGUUCCUCUUCAUGAAAUGCAAUCACUCAUAUGCCGUUAUUAUGUUGUCUGUGAUCAAUCUCCCCGGAACAAAGGCUGAUUGUUCAGCAGAAAUUAUAUCUGGCAGUAUCUGUUUGAGUCUGUUGGAGAUUACCUUGGACGCUAUUUUAUAGAGCACGUUACAUAAACUUAUGGGCCGAAACUGGGCAAGGAGUGUGGGGUUUUUGACCUUGGGGAUGAGAACCAGCACCGUAUUGUUAAUGCAUGCUGCUGACUCUGUCCCGUCCACAAUUUUGAGUACCACUUUCGUUACAUCUGCACCGCAUACAUCCCAGUGGCGCUGAAAGAAGUGAGCGGGGAAUCCAUCCGGGCCAGGGGCUUUGAUUGGAAACAUUUGGAACAACACACUUUUCACUUCAUCGUGUGUGUAAGGAGCAUUCAGACGAUCGUUCAUUGCCUGCGUUACUUUAGUAGAUACUGACUCCAGUACCCUAUCCAUGCCCUGUACUCCCUCGGUUGUGUAUAAGUUUUUGUAAAAUUCGGUGGUAAGCUCCUCCAUCUCCUCCCUGUCCUCGGUCAGCUAUCCAUCCGAUCGCUGCAACAAUUUUAUCUGGUUCUUCCGGCGGCGGCGGCUCGCUCGCAGGUGAAAAGAAUAAGUGUUUUUGUCACCAUGGACCAGCCAAUCCAGUCGAGCGCGUUGGCGCCACAUCAAUUCCUCUCUAUCAAACAGUUCGACCAGUCUGUCAGCUAUCUUGGUUUCAGUGUUUGUCGGUCCCGUCCGUCCUGGCGCUGAACGCAUGACCUCAAGCUGGCGUUGGAGUUGGCGAAUCUCCAUACGCACCGAUCCGAAGUUGUUGCGGUCCCACGCUGACAAAUCUCCCGCCAGGUUCCCUAGUUUUGCAUGUAUGCCCUCAACCGAUUCUCCAUCCUGCAGACUCCAGCUAUCACGCACAGUGUCAAACAGUGUUUCGUCCCUUUCCCACAUCGUCUCAUAUUUAAAAGCCUUGUGGCCCAUUUUGCAUGCAUGCAACUCACGUAGCUGAAGAAGAAUAGGAAUGUGAUCUGAACUAGCAGCACUUUUGUGCGAUAGCUGUGAUGAUGCGAGGGCGAGAGUCCAUUCUGUAUUUACCAGGCACCUGUCCAGCCUAACCUGGGUGUAGGUGCCUCCUGUGACCCUUUUUUCAAAUGUCCAACUAGUGCCAGAGUAUCCAAUAUCUGAUAACCCACAUGUAUCAACUGCUUCCCUGAAUGCUUCUAUUUGGGCUUGGCUUCGUUGUCCCACACCAUCAUGUUCAUGGCUGUGAAGAACCUCAUUAAAAUCUUCCAUGACUGCCCACGGUCUGUUCUGCGUCUCAGCAAUACCGCGCAGGGUGUCCCAUGUUUUGUAUCUCUCUGGUACCUGGGCUUCGCCAUAGACAAAGGUAAUUCUUACCUGCAAAUCAACUAAGUCAUCAACAAGAAUAUCAAUGUGAUACUUUGAGUAAUCGAUAACUUCCACUUUUAUUUCAUCGUUCCAAAAAAUUCCAAGUCCACCACUUCUACCGGAACUACUAACUGCAAAGCUUUUAUUGUAGCCUAUGCUAUCAGCCAUACUCUCAACCCUCUUUCCCUCUAUUUGAGUUUCAAGAAUACAAACAAUAGAGGGGGCAAACUGCCUCGCUAGAUCGUGAAGCUCUCUAACUGUCGCGGCUUUGCCAAUCCCGCGAAAGUUCCAGCAAAGAAGACUCAUUGCGCUAGGCGCGGCCCCGCUUCGGAGCCCGCCACAUGCGCAUCAGGGUUUUUGGUAGAAACUGUGCUCUUCUCCAGAGCUGACUCAUUAGACGAGGUUGACUUCAAUCUUUUCAGAUCCUGCUUGGGAGGAGGGCUAAGGGGCACCGCAGGUGAUGGCAGAAACAGUUGCUUCGUCUGUUGUACCGAAUAGGUUGGGAACGUGGUUUUUGGAUCAUGUGCCCCUCUCUUCCUGUUGCGAUCAACCUCAGUCAUUGCUACAUCUCCGUCUCGCUGAUCACGUUCCUGGUGAUGUUGAUCAUCAAACGAGUCUGCACUAUUGGGCGAUCGUCCUCUUCCUCUUCCCCCACGGCCUCUGCCGCGACCUCUCCCUGCAUUGCUGCUCUCGCCUUGAUAUCUUUGAAGACCAGAGUCUUUGGGGCAUGAACCCCGUCCCCGCACUCUUUGUGUUGGUGACCUAGAUGUCCACAAACUGCACACCAGUCCGGCAGUCUUUCAUAUUUGACUCUAAAGAUGACUCGUUCCACCGAAUCCUUUUUCCUUAUUACCAGUGAAACAACGUUCUUCAAAGGUUUAGUGACAUCGAUCCUGACUCAAACUCUAGCAAAGUUACCUUCAAAAUCCGGGGAUCUAGGCUCUGCAUAUAUGAAUUCUCCCAUAGUAGCAGACAUAGCUUUGACCUUAGAAAAGAAGCCAUCGGGCAGGUCGUGAAUCUGGAUCCAAAUUUCCAAUUUGUUGAGCUCUAUAGACGACGGCUUUGUGAAGCCAUCAUACUCUGCCAGAACUACUGCUUUCCCCUUGAAAUUCCAGGGGCCAUCUCCCAUAACCCUCUCCCAGUCACCCAGGCACGAGAAUUGCAUUGAGUACAGAUUAUCUUCCAGUGGUCUGAUCUUUACCUCUUGAGCUAGGUCCCAGGCCACUCUCAUAUUCCUAUAAAACCAAUAUUGGCUGUAUGUUUUCUCCGUGUGAACCCUAGCCAACGCCAUCCAGCGUGUUUCUUCCUUCGGCAGCUCGGUGUCUUCCACCACAACAUCAAUCAGAUCAUCUUCUUUCAGUCCAAGUUCCUCCAUCAUCGCAGCCAGAUUGGACGCAGUUGUACUUGAUCCAGAUGCAGUCGAACUCAUCAUGCGCUCGCUCGAGGUUAGGGUUCCGCGAGCGGUAGGUCCCAAGGAGUCACCACCCGCCCAGAACGCCGCGGCGGCCGAAGGCCACAGCGAUCGCCGGAAGGGGGUUAACAUCCGGGGAGGAAAAGUCCCUACGGUGUCGGCGUCGCCGUCGCUCGAGGGAAGAGAAAAACCCUAACGAGAGGGGAAACUUAGGAGGGAGAUUAGUGUUAUCGGUACCUGCCGCCCACACUACUUUAGAUAGCUAAUUGUAACUGGGCUGGCCCAUAUGUGUGAGCCCUCCUCCAUUACCGGUUGUGAAGGAAUUUCCUAUUCAACGCUUAUACCAUUUGUUAUAGUGUUUUCCUUUUGUUACAGUGUUAUCCGGGGACCUCCUACUUGGUCACCUGCGCGCAAAGUAGGAGGGAACGUGCACCCUUGGCUCCCAUGUAAGAGUUUUUCCCGCCCUAUUUUUAUUAUUUCAUUUUUAUGCCUUUUGUUUUUUCAUUUCUGUUUGUGUUUUUCUUCUUUAAAUAAUGUGUGGUUAAAAAAAUUCCCAAUUUCAAAACAAUACCAAAAUUGUUUGACAAAUCAGGAAAUAUUUGUGAAUUAAAAAUUGUUGAUGACUCUUCACUUCAGUGUCUCGACCCACCGGAACAAAAGCCGUGUGUACAAAUUGUGUUCGAAGCUUAUCGUAAACUGGCUUAGCAAGUGUAGUCUUGCCAAGUCUGCCUGGUCCAACAAUUGAGACCAUCUUCAUCUUGUGCUGCUGUUGCUUGAGACCAUGUGUGAGCCUCUUGGUUAGCUUGUUCCAUGCAUCUUCAAUGCCAACGAGCUCUUUCUGAUCAUUGUACAAAGCCAAUACACGAGGGUCAACCUUCUGUUUGCUAGCUGGAUUAGGAACAUCAUUGACCCUGUAUCUGGCACGCCGGCCAGCCAUCUCUUGAGAGCGGUUCUUGAUGUACCUGAUUGCAUCUCCGAUCUGAUGGCGAGUCUUGCCUUUUGUGAACAAGUUGGCCAUCUUCCCUACCUAUCAUUUGAUCAUGUUUGAGUUGGGGACGGCAUCAGAUUCAUAUCCCUCGACGGACACUAGGAAGUUAUCGAUGACAUCCUCCAUGUCAUACGACAGCUCCCUUUUAGGGAUUCAUGUCCCUUGGAAUCUCCGCCACCUUUACGAGGGCAGCGUUCAAGCUCUUCAUGUCCCUCUGGAGGGACUCGACGUACCGAAUAAAUGGGAGUUAGAGGACAGGAAUCUGUUGUAGGAAAGACAAAGGAAAUUGUUCUCCAUCGCCGUCCGGUUCCACUGGGAAAAAAUUACAUCCACUGCAACACCAAGACCGCAUGCUUACCGAGUAGUAGUAGAAGCAGCAGAGCUGAGUAAGGCACCCACUACCGAAUGCAGGGAUAAAUCCAGCACCAAGUAAGCAGCUCACAAGUGAGAGACGGCAUGCGCUUUGCGAACGGAAGGACAGGAGCAGAAAACAUUUUGGGAGAAAGAUCGACGUGGCUCAGAAAAUUGAAGGCGGUCUACUCCUCCUGAUUGAAGCCGGCGACUACACAAGCGCCAUGGUUUGAUGGAGCAAGAGAAAUGGUGUUGAACCCCCAACUCGUUCCAUUUCUAGCAGAAAAGUAGGGCAAUAAUUGAGUGGUGGUAUGUUAUUAGUGCUGGUAAUGGAGUAGGAAGCACCCUAGAAGUGCACCAACUAGUACAUCAAAAUACUCCUGCCAGUGGCGGUGGUAGAUCAUUCAUGUGUACUACUCGAUCGUAACAAGAACAAUUACAUGAACCAGCUUGUGCCACUAGUAAUAAUAUUUAGCUUAUUUUUACAUUAAGUUUUGCAAUGAAUAAUAUUUAGGUUAUUAAAAAGACUAUAGUUUAAUGGAUGGCCCAGAUUUGGAAAUAUUACUGCAGAUUUUUGGUAGUAAUAGACUUGCUUCACUUGUCGAUUUAUAUGAUCUGUCGCUUUCAGCGACGUUUGGGGCUGUGAUUUGGGUUUGUUGUCAUUGAAAUUGCACAACUAUAGAAACUGGAUUCUUUUUUAUUAUUAUAGUGAGCACAAGGAAUCAUGUUACUAGUUGAAUUCAUAGAAAAAGACUCCAUUCAGACUCUGUCCUGCUCCAUGAAAAUAUCCUAUCAGAUAGACGCAGAGCGGUACAUAUACAGACUCAGGUUUCUUGAAAUCUAAUGCAACCAAGUCUUGUACAAUGGUCACAUGUUAUGUGACCUGAACCAAUUAUGGGUUUGCACUUGAUAAUUCCCGCACGAACCACAUGUAAACAUGGUUCGAAGGCUUGAAUAACAAUGUAAAAUUGAUGUCAAGUUUUCCCGACUUGAUUCCUGUCUAGGUUGGAGUCAUCAGUCUACUUGAAGCACUCGUUUUUCUCAUCUACGUUGGAGGACUGAUUGGAGCAUGAAUUAGUUGAGGAGAUAGAAACCCAUUUUUGGCGAGGGAGAGGACAGAAACCCAUGACACAACAAGGUUUUCAUGAUCAUCAUUGGCUAACUUCAAAGUUCCAACAGAGUGCCAACUACCAAGUGAGUAGCAGUACAAGGCACUGUUCAGCUGAAUCAAUCUUUACAACAUUAACCUAUCAUUCACUGGCGUUUCAUACCCAGAAUUGACUCUUAUAACAGUACAGAAGCAAACCCCUACUUCGAGUCAGUGUUGCUCUGUACUUUUUUUAACGGAGGUUAUAACUACGGCCUCUUUAUUUAUUAUUCAGCGGCCAUCUUUAUUUAUUAUUCCACCAAAGUCUAACAAAAACAUACAUCAAGCUACUCGAAGACAUCACUCACACCUACAAAACUCGAAAAUGUAGAGUGCUCUCACACUCCUCAUAUCUAAACCGGUAUCGUCGCUGAUCCAUCCACAUAACGUGUCGGAACGAACAGCCAGUGCAGCAGACCUAAAGCGCACACCACAUGCACAUGUUUUAGACGCCGCCAUCAUCUGCAGACCGCUGACCCAUCUUCAGGAGAGAGAUCCACAUCAUCCUUGCCAGUCCGUCCAUCCAGUCCCUCCCUCCUCUCGGCCUCCCUAUUAUCCCUCCUCACCCUCUGCUGCUGAUCUGUGGCGGCCUCUCCAAUAGCUCUGUGGCCUUCUUUCGCUGCCGCACCGGCCCGAGCGUUGUCGCUUGCAAGCCGUCCGGAGGCCACAAUGGCGCUCUCCCGUCGGGACUUUGCCACAUUCCAGCAUAUCAGUUGCUCUGUCAUGGGGAUCUGUCCUGCUCCUAGCCGUGUCUCCCGCGAUGGUGGUAGACCUGACUUGUACUACAAUGUUCUUUGGUCGCACGGCUGGCCACGGCGGUUUGCUCCGUUCCUUUGUAUCUAUGUUGCAGCUUCAAUUGUGUUAUGCAUGUCAUGGAUGUAUUAUAAUUCUGGGAUGCAUGUAAUUGUAUUGCUAUGAAUCUUAAAAUUGCUAGGUGUUCCAUGAACCAAUGAAUAUGCUAGAAAAUAUUACUCUGUCAUAUAUAUGUUAGAAAAUGUUCUCGUCGGGCCGGGUUUCUCUGCCCUAGAGAACAUAUUCUACAUGUUAUAUGCGACAAUGUAGUGAUGAAUAUUUCACCGGAAAUAGUGUAAAUGCAACCAACUCCCCCAUUAGGAGACAGAGUGGAAUAUUGUUUGACGAUAGACUUGGUUUAUGCAUAUUCGACGCACGUUUGAAUUUUUUCUCCCGAGCCACAAGAAAGCUCCUCGCGCGACCGCGUCCGUCCCUCAUGGGCGGCCGGCCGCGCUGUCCAUCCCUCCUUCCCAGCGCUCUCCCCCACCCUCUCUCUCCCCACCGUUGCCGGGGUGCAUCCCCGGGCUCGGCUCGGGCGGCGCCGGCGGUGCGGCCCACGGCUUUCCCCCCUGCGGCAGAUCCUGUGCGGGGCGGCGCUGCUUAAGGAGGUGCUCUCAGGUGGCGAUGGUUCGGCGCUGCGGUGGGCUGGUUCGCCGCUGACUUCGGUGGUCAGAGGCGGAGGAGCUCCGCGGCGGCGCGGGCUGGUGGCGCCCGUUCGGCCCAGAUCUGGGCCGAGGCGGGCCGGCAGCUCCGAUUUGUGGUGUAUCUUCCUGGAAGCGGCGGUGGGGUGUCUGGAUCCUGGGUGGUGGCGGCAUCGUUGCCGGAUUGUGCAGCGUGGCGGUGGAGUCUUUGCGGGAUCGAUCUGAGCCCGGCUAGGCCCGGGUGGCCUGGUUUGCCUCCCGCCUCGGCGUCCGGCUGGCUACCGCGAUGGCGUUGGAGGAACUGGCCUCUGGCGCGGCGUCGGUGGAGGUUGUCCCCUCCCGCUUGGCUGCGGUGCUGCCACCCCCGGCUCCAUGCGUUCUCAUUUUCCGUCCUCUAGGCCUCGCGGUGGUGGCCUUAGUGAGACGGCGUGGGUGGCCUCAAGACCGCGGUGGCGAAGGAGGGUGGGUGGCGUGUUGGGUGGAAGACUCCGGAGCGAUUGGGUAGUGUGCACAAGUGUUAGAAUCCUAAAAGGUAAAUAGUUUCUUAAGAUCUGAAGCAAGUGUUGGAAGAUUCUGCUGCCUCUAGAUACACAACAAAUGUCCACAUGUUGCUUCUUGGAGAAGCCGAGAGAGCCUUGAGCGGAGUGUUUAACCUUAUGUAUGAUAUUCUUAACUACCAUUUGUAUUAAAUGAACCAAUAAACAUUUUAUGUUAAUUGUCUUGACAAAUUUUGCUGUGUGCAGACUUACAUAUUAGUGGCACUACACAAAAAAAGAUGGCUAAGGGGUUUAUGAAGUAGGAUAGAGAUUGGUGAGAAAAUAUGUGCCCUCUCUCUCGUUUGUAAAGAGGUUCAAAUGUUAUGUGUGUAGCUUUUGCUAGUAUUCUCGAAUCGUUGGCCGUGAAUUGUCAAUUGUGUAAAUGUACAUGUGAAUUGUCUUAUGAAAAACAAUGUGCAACUGAGUGAUUAUGCCUGUGUAUUGUGUUCAUGUCUUUCUGUAAAUUUCGUUUGCAUUGCUGGUAACAUACUGAAAUGAAGUGCAUGCAUGCAAUGGUGAAAUGAAUCGGUACGAUCGACUGGCUGGCGGUCCAAACUAGUACACUAUCACUGACCGGUUAGAUUGCGGGUCUAUGAUGAGCAAGUCAUCACAAACCCUGAUCCACUGACAGACCAGCAACUAGUUAGUGAUGAUGAAAUUUGGCCGGUAAGUGUUAUUCGGAUUUGUAGUANNNNNNNNNNNNNNNNNNNNNNNNNNNNNNNNNNNNNNNNNNNNNNNNNNNNNNNNNNNNNNNNNNNNNNNNNNNNNNNNNNNNNNNNNNNNNNNNNNNNNNNNNNNNNNNNNNNNNNNNNNNNNNNNNNNNNNNNNNNNNNNNNNNNNNNNNNNNNNNNNNNNNNNNNNNNNNNNNNNNNNNNNNNNNNNNNNNNNNNNNNNNNNNNNNNNNNNNNNNNNNNNNNNNNNNNNNNNNNNNNNNNNNNNNNNNNNNNNNNNNNNNNNNNNNNNNNNNNNNNNNNNNNNNNNNNNNNNNNNNNNNNNNNNNNNNNNNNNNNNNCUCGGGUUUCUGCCCCUUUAUGAUAUAUGAGAAAACUGAACGAUUCAGGUGAAACUAGUCAUGAUAAUAAUUAGCAAUUCUAGUAUUUUAACACACAUAUCCCAAUCACUAUAGUUUUUUCAAACGACUAUUUUAACAACGCAUCUACGAUUCAUAGUAAAAUGUGACAUUGUAUACUGUAAAAUUUCUACAAUCUACAAGGUCAAAUUUAUUGUAAAUGUGACCACAACACCAGAUACACUAGAAAUAAAGUAAAACCCUAAAAGUCCCAUGCUAGCUAGACUACUCUUGGUUGGCUAGAAAUUAGGAGGGAGUACCCAGAUGCCAGUUUGAGCACGAGCUGCUACAUAAGAUCCCGCUGAUUUGAUCCUCUGUGUGACAUUGUCGCUACUUUCAUCUUGCAUAGGAUAUACACGGUUACCAUUGCCAUCAAAACUUGCCAAGUAUGUCAUAUCAUCAGCGUAGAUGUGGUUUCUCUGCACCCUGUCGCGCCCAACCACCGGCACGUCAACCGCCCUGGACAUUUUCCCCAAAAAUAAGGCGGAGUCACCCAAGGUCCUUACUUCCUCCCACUUACGAGCAUACUUUGUCAUCGAGUCAUCAUCCAACACAUAAACCUUGAAGAAAGGCUCAGGGCCGGUGUGGUAUGAUGGGAAUUUCCCCAGUACCAUCGCUAGCUUCCCUUGCAGCUCAACAAUGUGAGUCGACCAUGUGAAAGGUUCACUAACAAUCUUGAUAUGCAACUCGGCGUCAAUGGCGAGCAGAGGCCUGCCAUAUUUGUUCGCGCCUAUGUUGAAUUUGAUCAGGUCAUUGGAGAAUAUUAUAUUAAUGUCAAUUUAAUAUUAUACUAUGUGUCGUCAAUUUAAAAGGCUCCUGCCGUCAUGCCUUUGAGUAUUAUAUUAAUGUCAAAUUGUUUAAAUGCUAGUAAUUAGUUAACUUAGAAGCAAACUGUUUAUUGAUAAAAUGCUAUAGUAUAAUUAAGGGAGUUUUUUUUUUGAAAAAUAAUAAUGUUAGAUAUAUGCUGAUGCAACAAGGGCAUGAUUUUAUUUGUUAGCAAUACUAAUAAAAAAGUUCAUAGAAAAUAAUUUUAUACUCCCGAGGGUUAUACACAUAGUUUAAUUUGUUAAUUGUUAAAAAGUUAGCUAUACAACUAGCUAUAUAUUUGUAAAUACUAAUUAGUAGUGUAAAAAAGCAGGAACGAGCACCCGCCUAUGAUACCUUGAUUUACCAACACAAAACGUGCAUCUUGUGUGUAUGAUUGUGAAAUGCACGUUGUGUGUGGAGUUUGACAUCUAAUUUUUAACCCGCUGUUGGUCUUUCAUAUAGAGGAAUGUCUCGCUGUGCUUCCACGAGUCCCUGUAGUUCGCUACGGCUCAGAAACACAGUGUUCGGACGUCAGAUACACUAAAGUUGCACUAUGACAACCAUUGUACAAUCCAGCCCGCCUCAGUUAUAUUAAUAAAAAUAUCGAUCCGAGAACUUUAUCAUGUAUCUGGUUGCGACAGACGCAUAUACGUUCGAGAAAAAGGAGAUAAAUGGUCCUGCGAAGGUAAGGUGGCAGCUAUCGGUGUUCUAGUACACAAGACAACCGAACGCUACACACAGUACUACAAGUCAGUAAUAAAUAGAGUCUGGCGACUACUAGGCUGGCAUGACAGUGCUGUCGAGCGACUCGCCGAUGUGUAUGGCAAUGUGGAAAAUGCAUCCCAUUACUUCUCAUCUCCGCUCCUCUUUGCUCGGUUUGUCCAAGAAGCGGAACACACCACUCAUGUCGGCCUACAUGGCAUAACAUGCUCGUGGAGAAACUAUGNNNNNNNNNNNNNNNNNNNNNNNNNNNNNNNNNNNNNNNNNNNNNNNNNNNNNNNNNNNNNNNNNNNNNNNNNNNNNNNNNNNNNNNNNNNNNNNNNNNNNNNNNNNNNNNNNNNNNNNNNNNNNNNNNNNNNNNNNNNNNNNNNNNNNNNNNNNNNNNNNNNNNNNNNNNNNNNNNNNNNNNNNNNNNNNNNNNNNNNNNNNNNNNNNNNNNNNNNNNNNNNNNNNNNNNNNNNNNNNNNNNNNNNNNNNNNNNNNAAGACGAUGAAAAUUGAGUAAACACAAAAGUAAAGUAGCCGGUCUCAUUAUCAUUAGAAGACGAUGGCAACUACUGCAUGCACCCAUACAUUCUUGGAUCGCUAUAUUUGGCUUAUUCGGUCACAAACCGACGACUUUGCAGCUGCUACAUAAACAACGCUACUCUGGAUCUUAGGGAAAAAUGUUUGGAGACGGAUAUUGAUAAAGGAAACCGAGGAGAGUUGGUGAUGUGAGUCUACUCCAUCGUGCAUGCUACCUACAUGGACAAGCACAUCCGACCUGGCACAGCCUCGAGUUUCAUUAUCCCCUCUUGAUCCCUCUGAUGUUUCCUCUUUCUCUUCAUCAUCAUCUUCACAUCCCUCAAUGUGCACGUUUUUGUGCCUCGAUUUGAUUGGUUCAACUACUUGCUGGCUAUCCUCAGAGUGGUCAAUUUUUUUGGUGUUCGCGAGGAGUCACCAGUACAAGCAUGGUACUGAUAUGUCAUACAUGACCGUGGCAUUUGUACUUGUAGUUUCCUUUCAUUUUUCAUUUUCCUUUUUAAACGCAUACUGUACUUUCUUUACUACACGAUAAUUAAUAUACACUGCACAUUUUUGUAGUAUACGUCAAACAAAUUUUUUAAUUGUAUGAAAACAUAUUUUAUAUUCACACUAUUUUAAAAAAAUAUAGUGAAUAUUUCUAAAUACAUCUAUAAUUUUUUAAUACACAAUGGACAAUUUUUUCAUGUACACAUAACACUUUUUAGUAUAUGAGGAACAUUUGAAAUAUACGGCGAACAUUUUCUAUAUACCCACUAAUAUUUUUAUAAAUGCUGAACAUUUUAAAAGUACACGUUCAUUUUUGUGUUUUCACAAACCAUAGAAAACCAAGAAACUGAAGUAAAAUGAAUAAACGAAAAAAAACAGUACCGGACAGCUCCGUCGCUGCAAAAAUAGGUCUGCACGUCUUAGUGGGCCUACCCAUUCAGAGUCACCUAUGCGUAUCCUCAACUUUUUCGACAACGGGUGCCUUUUAUUUACUUAUAAUGUUGCAUCGAGGGAUACAAUCAUAACAAGCACACACCCAAACUAUGUAUAACUAGCAUACACACUGCGAACACACAUAAAAAAUCACACUGGCAAAUAACAAAGUCAAAUAAGACAAGAACUAUGGCUAGACACAUACAGAAAACGAAGGAAAGAAGAAGAAAUCCCGAGGCGACCAAAAGAGCAUACGUGAGUGAUCAUAUGUGCCAACCAUCUGAACUACUGCGUCAACUAGGAGGUCUCGCUUCUAAGGCCAUCAAUAAUAUUAACGAUGGUUCCAUAUAAAAAAAGAAUAUUAACGGUGGUAGCAGGUGCGAGAUCUUAAAUUAUCAUUUUUUAAGGCCGCUCCAUCGUUUUUGUUCUGCACAAGUGGCUCCCCUAGCCGUAACCCCACCCACUGGUUAUGUAGUUCUUUAAGAGAAAAUCGAUGACACAUGCAAGCAACAAUUUUGUAUCUUCUGUCAUUUGUUUAUACUAUGCCAUCACGAGGAGAUUGCACUUAAAAAGACAAAUUGCAUAUAGGAUAGUUAAAAAAGGGUUGUUUUCUGUCGUGGAAAGGUUGAUUCUAGUAUGAGUAUUCUCUUGGUAUCCGUUCCUUCAUGGAGAAGAGAAGGUGAUUUUCUCUCGCCGCCCCGUCAAUUGAAAUUAUACAUGUUCAAUGAUGACAUGAAGGUUAAUUUCACACCACUCAUUCAUUGUGCUUGCCUUGAGUUCCCUUCAAGGAUAUACCGUGGCAUUCCCGCCUCAAAGAGCUUUUUCAAACCCCUUUCUCAAGAUGCACAACUCAGUCAUUGUUAUCUUGUGUAGACGGGUUCAUCCAACAGGGUAUAAGAUAACACGAUGGACUGAACUGAAGAGAAAAGAAAAAAAAAAUCAUCUACUAAGCCUUAAGCAUUAAACAAGCUUGGAGUGUUGGUCAGCGUGCGACAUCAUUCAAGAAUUUUGUGGACCUACGCUGACCCAAUGAACUUGUGCCCUAUCCCUUGAAGAAAUAUCUCAUCAAUUAUGAAUAAAAAUGUUUGAAGCAUAGAAGUACUCAUGUUUUGACAACAAUACGACCCAUUGUCAUAAACUCAUAAUAUCCCCAAUUUUUACUCAUGAAAAUCAUGUUUGCAUCCCUUUUUGACUCGUUACAUUGCAAUUGUGUCCCAAUUAGAUAACAAUAACACUAAUGAUUGAGCUUGCCAUUGGUAUUCAGUUAUGUGUACACACACAUCACCUUAUGGGUAUUUCACACGAGAAGAAAAUUAGAGGCGAUUUAUUUGCAACUAACAGGCGCUUGCCGCCUCCCAUUGGCUCGCUGCUUGCCAACAAGCAUUCGAUUCCAUUCAACUGAAUUUAAGAAAAAUGGUCAGCAUGUUGGCGCUGUACUGUGUUGGGUUCGUUGAUUGCAUCCAUAUAUAUAAGCAGUCCAUUCCAUUCAACUCAAUUCAUCAACUGCAUCCAUAAUAAAUAUCAAAAAUUCCCCAUGGCACACAACGUGAUUUGCUUGCUUCUUGAUCGGAUUAUCAAACACCGGAGGGGUGUCUUCCUGUGUGAGGGUGGCCGAAACAAACUCGGCAAUUGCAGACGCUCUGAACUCGCCAUCUGCAAUACACACAGUACAUUGUUAGCCAAUUUAACAGUCAAACCAACUCGGUACAUAGAAAUGGAAAGGAGAAGCUAAAACAAGUUUACCAUAUACUGUUAACUUCGCCUCUUUUUUCUUGAGCAGGACUAGUGAUGGGCGCUUUGCUUGCGGGUCAACAUGGAAAAGCUUGGCUAUAUCAGGACUGGUAGUCUGGUAGAUGUUGACAGCCCGGUACAAGCUGUUGAAAUCUUCCAGCCUUGAGGCAGCAGCAAGCUCUUCGGUGUGAGCACCCUAUAGCAUUUGUUGAUAAGAGUAAUCAAUUUUGGGCCACAUGUGCGGUGCAAUUGCAGCAAUUCGGUUGGAUGGUAGACUUUGCUGGGAUUGGAACGUACCGAAAGGGAGUCGAGGAAAGCUAGCACGGCUACUUUGCCGCCGGUGAUGAUCUUCUCGGCCUCGUCGAUGGUGGUGACGUUCUGCACCUCAGGGCCCAGCCUCUGGGAUAUCCAAGUGACCAUGGCGUCCCUGCAGCAGUGGAAAAUUCGCCACCAUGAGGGAUGAAAUAUAAGACCGUUUAGAUCACCAAAGUAAUCUAAACCACGAACAAAAAAUAAGAACAAAAAAUUUGAAUGGAACAUUUCCUGAAAUUCACAAACAUUUCUUAAAAACAUGAAUCUUUCUAAACCACGAACAUUUUUUAAGUUGUCAACAAGAACAUGUUUUGAAGAUUCAGAAGAGUUGUAGUAAUUUUUUUCUUUAAUGCAAACAUUAUUUUCAAUUUUUGAACAUAUUGUGAAAACAACAAUAUUUUUAGAAUUUGGAAUAUUUUCAAAAUGCAUUUUUCUAAAUAUUGUUUUUUAAAUACAGUUAUUUUUUAACAAAUGGCAAUAUUUUUUAAAUUUUGAAAUACAUUUGGCAGAACUAAAAAAAUUCCAAACAUUUUUAGAAUAGGAACACAUUUAUGUAAUUCGUAUAUUUUUAUGAAUUCUUGAAUAAAAAUGAAAUUGCGAUAUUUUCCGAAAAUUUUGAAUUUCAGAAAAUACGUAGAAAAUAGACUUAGAAUGUGAAAAGUAAAAAAUAAAUACGAAACAAAAAGAGAACUAAGCAGAAAAAUAAAAAUGGAAACCGAACACAAGCAUAAAUCGGCCGCUGAGUUUUGGGCGCCUUGUGCGUACCUGAAACUAUUUACCGCCUUGUGCGGGAAAUAGGAUUUUUUGUUGCUACAUGGGCAGGAAAAAAUGGGCUGAAUUUACGGGGCCAUAGUGCGCGCGGCCCAUGUACGAAAUUUUGCACAAAUUGUUUUUCCUUUGCUAAUAGACGAACAUAGAAAGUUUAGUACCACCUCGGAAAGAAAAACAAUAAUUUUUUGGCGGUGAACGGAUAAAAAAAUCGGAGAAACGCACCUUGCUUUAUUAGUAGGUAUAUAUAGAUAUUGAUAUAGAUAUAGAUUGCUCAAGGUGAAAAGCUAAGGCUAUCCUCUUAAGAAAAAAAACGAAGUUAUCUUCCUCGAAAGAAAAACAAAACUAUGUUAUAUAUCCUCCUCUCAAUCAACAAAAUCACCUCUCCUCGAGCAAGCCAACUCUGACUGCACCAUGGGUAAACGUCAAGAUCCCUCCGAACGAUACACGAGAACCGUCUCGGCCACUGCCAAACAAUUGGCCACAAGCUUCGACAACAUAGCAGCUUGGAUUUUGCCGAUGAACUUUGCUGGGGAAAAUUGUAAGCCUCGCACCGAUCUAGUCCAGCGCAAUCUCUGGAGAGCAGCGUCCACUGAAACCAUCUUCAUGGAGUCAUCGUUUCCGCAGGCGCCCCUCCACACACAGCUUCAUCUUCUUUGUUACAACAAGAAACAAGCAUAGGCACACCCAUUGGCACACCCGACUGUCAAAUUCAGAAGGGCCAACCACGACCUAGCUCCGCUCGCCACCAUUGUCGUCGCCACGAGUGCCAACACCAACUACUCGCAUCAUCAGCUGUGCACCAUCCAACCGUGAGAAUGUGCAUAUCCAACCCAGGAAAAGUGUGGAGGGGAACAAAUCUUCAAGACGGCGCCCUAAGUGGGGAGCGAUGCAGAAAUAACAAUGUUGUCCGACCCUGCAACAGGGACCUUAGGCUUUUACUGAAGACAUCCCAAGGGUGACCAAGAUGGAAGAGCUGCACGGCGACCCUCCAAGAAGGAAUAACGACACUAGCAACCGCCACAUCAUCAUUGAUGGCAUAAUCCAGGCAAGCCUUUGCCCCGGAGGAACAAACGUGCACAUACACCCCCACUAGACAAAAUACUGCCUUACCUAUAGACAAAUCAGUUCUUUUUUGGGCGAGAUAAGCCCAAAGUAAUCUGUGCAAAUAUUCUCUGUAAAUUCAAAAUCUAUGUGUAUUAUAUGUAGUUAAUCAACAUUUUACCGCCCAAAUUAGAAUCCUAGCCACUUUAUACCUCGAACUUUCAUUAAAUGUGUCUAGACUUACGUAUUGAGUGCACCAUGCAUGCUGCCAAGCCAACCCGCGUUGAAUCGCGCCAUAAAUUUCCUUAAGUUUAAAUUUCCGCUAGGAUUUACCUUGUAAAUAAGUUUCCACCGUUCUUACUAGCACAAAUUUAAAGCUUUGGGGUAAAUCCUUUCUGCAUAAUCCCUGUAAAAAAUGAUAAAAGUAAAGGUACAAAGUAGAAAUUUUAAUAUAUAUCAUCACACAAUCAUAGUACAACCAGCACACACAUACAAUUAUCAUCCAUACAAGCCAGAAAAGUAAGUCAGAACAAUCACAAGAUUUACAUGGGCAUCAUACCCUAAUCUUGAUUGAUCUUGACAUUAUAUAGCACAGAAUGACUUGAUGGUGGUGGGUUACAACACACCACUUAUUUAAUCCAGCAGGCAAUAUAAGUCACGAGUAUACUAUAUCUGGCGCGGUUGAUGUACUCGAACAUCUCAUCCCAGCGGCUCCUCUUGGAUGUGUGCUUCCACAUUUUCCUUUUCCGCUUGUGUCCCAAGUGGUGGUUUUGGUUGUGCAUUCGGGUCCGGCAGUCCAGGCAGUGGUUGUGGGUUUGGGUCUGGUAAUGGUUGUGGGUUUGGAUCAGGCUGCGGUCCUGGUAAUGGCUGAGGGUUUGGGUUUGGUUGUGGGUCCGGCAAUGGUUUUGGGUUUGGGUCUGGUAAUGGUUGUGGGUUUGGAUCAGGCUGAGGUCCUGGUAAUGGUUGAGGGUUUGGGUUUGGCUGUGGGUUNNNNNNNNNNNNNNNNNNNNNNNNNNNNNNNNNNNNNNNNNNNNNNNNNNNNNNNNNNNNNNNNNNNNNNNNNNNNNNNNNNNNNNNNNNNNNNNNNNNNNNNNNNNNNNNNNNNNNNNNNNNNNNNNNNNNNNNNNNNNNNNNNNNNNNNNNNNNNNNNNNNNNNNNNNNNNNNNNNNNNNNNNNNNNNNNNNNNNNNNNNNNNNNNNNNNNNNNNNNNNNNNNNNNNNNNNNNNNNNNNNNNNNNNNNNNNNNNNNNNNNNNNNNNNNNNNNNNNNNNNNNNNNNNNNNNNNNNNNNNNNNNNNNNNNNNNNNNNNNNNNNNNNNNNNNNNNNNNNNNNNNNNNNNNNNNNNNNNNNNNGGCAAUGGUUUCGGGUUUGGGUCUGGAAAUGGUUGUGGGUUUGGAUCAGGCUGCGGUCCUGGUAAUGGCUGAGGGUUUGGGUUUGGUUGUGGGUCCGGCAAUGGUUUUGUGUUUGGGUCUGGUAAUGGUUGUGGAUUUGGAUCAGGCUGCGGUCCUGGUAAUGGACGAGGGUUUGGGUUUGGCCGUGGGUCUGGUAGUAGCUGCGGGUUUGGGUUUGGCCAUGGGUUCAUCAACCGUUGCAGGUUUUGGCCUGGCAAUGGUUGUGGAUUUGGGUCAGGGUGUGGUCCUGGUAAUGGUUGAGCAUUUGGAUCAGGUUGUGGCUCAGGCAGUGGUUGUGGGUUUGGAUUAGGUUUAGGAUCGGGUAGUGGUUGCGGGUUUGGGUCUGGUCGUGGUCCUGGCAGUGGUUGUGG
RNAcentral lists this long non-coding RNA (47448 nucleotides) under Triticum aestivum (bread wheat). Its description in RNAcentral is "long non-coding RNA (TAES_LNC009528)". Lineage: Eukaryota; Viridiplantae; Streptophyta; Magnoliopsida; Poales; Poaceae. The record is from RNAcentral.